RNAcentral lists this long non-coding RNA (51107 nucleotides) under Vigna radiata. RNAcentral describes it as "long non-coding RNA (VRAD_LNC002994)". The record is from RNAcentral. Lineage: Eukaryota; Viridiplantae; Streptophyta; Magnoliopsida; Fabales; Fabaceae.
UUUUUUCUUCUUUUUGUGUUAAAUUGAUAUCUUUUAAGAAAAUAUAUAGUAUUUUUAUCUGUAAAACGUUGAUUAUGGACUGAAUUCUUUUCGGUAUAUUUUUUUGAAAUAAUAACCUUUCACUACUCUAUUUUUUUUUCGUAAAAAUUCCAUUUUAGUUCAUAUUUUAUAGGAUGAUAAAAAAAUUAUGACCUCUUUCAAAAGACAACAACAUCAAGUAAUUAUUUUUAAGCUAAAUAAAAUUAUUAUGAACUAUAAAUUUUUCAAUGUUUAACUUAUUUGUAUAUUAUAUUCAAACUCGAGGUCAUGUAUUAAAUAUUCAUAUAUAAAUUGAUUCAAGUGUUUAGUAAUAAACUCUAUUUAUUCUUAUAGUAAUCCUAGUUGUAGACAAGUUGUUCUUGUGUGACAUGGAUAUAAAUAACCAUGUGGAACUUGUUUUCCCUGUUUUUUUUUUCUAAUAACAUGUGCCUAGUUCAAAUUUGUUGGCCCCUUUCUAAACAUUAUCUGGGCCCAAAUUGGAAAUGAAUAGUACUCCAGUCCUAUGUAAAAUGAUUGACUUCUGUUGACUAAUUUUUAUUUUUGUAUAUAAUAUUCUUCUUCUUUGAGAUUGAUCAGAAGCAUGCCUAAUUCCUAGUUACAAUUUUAAUAUGAUAAAAAAAGUGACUCAUUCUUUUUGCAUUAAAAUUAUAAAGAAGACUAAUUCCCUAUAUAACCCUAUAUGUUUUAGUUAGAUCUUUGCAUUAAUUAUGCACUUUAAGUUUCACUUUUCCAAUUCAUGGCUUGUGGUACUUCUAAGAAUGAUGAUACAAAUCAUGAAGCAGAAAAGAAAGAGAAUAUAAUCACAUUGAAAAGUUUGUCUGGUGGACUAUUGAUUUUUCUGUAACGUGUAAUAUUGUGUCAUGUACAAUGUUGACUAUAUAUGCAGAUUACGUGCUCAAAUUAUUACUUACAUGAAUUCAUAAACAGUAGCCAUGCGCAUAAUGUUUCAUUGCUUCGUCGCUUUAAAACAUGUAACAUGUAAUUAAAUUUAUUAAUUCCAAGCACUAGUCUGAAAAUCUAAAUUUUACGUUGUAAUUUAUUCUUAGCUUUAAUAACUUAAAGUUUGACAUCAAACUAUUCCUAUUGUUAACCUUUUAUUCUUUAUAUUUCUUCAAAUUUACUUUAAUUGUUCUAUCAGAUAUAUUCAUUGAUAAUUUAUUGUUGAUUUAAUUUACCCACAAAUAAAUUCGUCAGUAAUUUAUUUGAUGAAAUCAAAUUUAUAUUUGAGAUUUUCUUUUCCUAAUUUUAUUUUUUGCUUUUUUUAAAAAUAGUCUACUUUGUAACAUUAUUUCUUUGUAUCAUUAGUGUAGGGCGGAGGUGAGUGGAUUCAAGUUCUGAUCGGGUUGUAGUUCAAUGGGAAAUAACCUAUGUUAUAAUGUUUUGCAAUUUGGAGAAAGGAUACAAGGGACACCUUGAGUUUGUAUGUUCUCAUAAAAGAUAUAAUAUUAGAUUUUUUUUUUUCUUGUGGAUGGGUAUUGGUACGUGGACAUUGGGUAUGUACGGAUUAUGGUAUCAAAGUUUGUUGUUAUUGGUCGUGUGGUCUCUAAUUACUUUCUUACUUGGUAUGGUUGUUUCAGAGGUAGGGCAUUUACGUUAAAUGUUUUCCAUGGUGUUGGGUGGGGUUACCAUGGUUUUUGUCAUUGCUAUCACAAUAUCUCCUAUACCAUCUUCCUAUACUGUGAUGGUGUGCUCAAGAAAGUCUUGUUUUUGUAAGUAGGUCCUAUUUUAGUAAUUAGGAGAGUGUUGUAGGAUGAACAAGACAUGUUUUGAUAAACAAGAUCAUGGAAGUCUUGCUUUGGAAAGUGUGCCCUAUUUUAGUAAACAGAUCAAGUUGCUCGAGUAUGGAAGAGAACAUAGUAAAAGAUGGUGAUAACAUGGUUUGCUUGGAUUAAAGUUGGUUUGGCAUGGUUUUGUUGUGUGGUGAUUUAUUUGAAAUAAGGGCAUAAUGAGGUUAGAUAUCAAUUUUAAUUAUAUCAUUAUAUGUUGUUUUGAUGUUUAUUUUGUUAGUUCACCCUUACGUUUUGUGGUUGUGGUUUCCGCUUUGAUGACCAUAUUCAUACGAGAGCAGAUAAUAUUACAAAGGUUGAUGUUGAUGGUACUAAUGUGAUGUAGAAUGAGAGACGGUGGAGAAUGAUUCUCGAAGUUUCCAAAAAGUUAUUUCUCUUUUUAAUUAAUCAUAAGGAGUCUUGGUACAUUAAUUCCAGUUGUAAUUGGAUUAUUUAUUGUUAUAGCAUAAACUUUAUUAUUUUUAUGACAACAAAAUAAAUUUUUAAAUUUUCACUACAUUGAGGUGGUAUCAUAAUUUUAUUUAAUUGAUGUCUUUUGUGUUUGGUUGGGUUAGAUUUUAAUAGGGUUGUUUCCUUUUGUCAAAGGUUAUUGCGGUAGUAAUGUUUUAACUUAUAUGUUUGACUUGCAUUUUGGGCUUACAAUGUUGAUAUUAGUUGUCUUGCUUCUAAACUCCAUAUUGUAAUUUCUUACAAAACAAAAUCAUGAUCCCUACAAACUGCAUUGUUUAUGUUUUCUAAAACUUAUAUAAGAUAAAUUGUGAGUAUGGUGGACGAUUUAAAUGGGGAUUGUAUUUUGCAGAAAGAUGAAUAAAUAAGUCUUGAUCGUUUAAUUGCUUAUAAUUCAAGAUAUCUCUUUUAUAUCUUUUGUUUUGAUUUUUAGGCUAGUUAAAUAGCUACCUUUAAGAUGAUUUAUAAUUAAGAGAUGUUGGAAAAAGAAUGGAUUAGUUUUAACACCUAGAAGAUGAAUUGGUGAAAAUAAAAAAUCAGAAUCUUUUCAAAAUCUUUUUCACAAAGUGUAAACCUUUCAAAAGUUUCUUGAAUCUCGUAUGAAAAAGAUAAAUCAAUGCAGCAAAAAAUAGUUGACGAUACUGAAAAUAUAGUCGACUUUAAAAUAAAGAGAUCAAGGAUAGAGAAAUUCAAACAUAGUUUUUAUACUAGUUCGACCAAACUGCCUACAUCCAGUGUCCUUCCUCUAACCGAAAGCAAAUGCACUAUAAUGGUCAAGGUUUUUACAACAAGGUUUCUAUAGGGACCUUCAUGUCAAAAUAUAAAACACCUCUCUAACCCUCUAACCAAAUAUAGGCAUACAACACCUAAAAAACAACAAGAUAUCCCCUCUCCUACAGUCUUUGUCAACUUUGAACAAUCCUCAAAGUUUUCCUAGCUCUUCCUGUAAUCACAAUAGGGCAGCCACAAUCUUCACAAGAUUGAGAGAAGUAGAUGAUCACGUUUCCAGUACACCUCAAUGUGCAGUAUGAUCAAGCCUUUCUUUCAACACAACCUUGCUCGUUAAAUAACUAUCCAAGAGAGAUCUCCACGGUCUUCUUUAUAAGUUCUUAGAGCUUUUCACAAAGAUCAAAAUCUGAAACAAUAGAAUGAAAUUGCUAGAAUAACCAAAGUCCCUGUGUAAAACAGAAUCACGUCUAUUUAUAGUUUUCUGUAAAAAAGACGCUCUUGUAGUCGACUUCACUACUAAUCCAGUCGACUUCAGUCAAACAAUUAAAAUAGUUAAAACCAAUUAGUAGCAGUCAGACCAACCAAAUUGAUUGGGCAUUUAAUUCAGUUGACUUGCAAUUAAUGCUUUGUCAAAUAGACAAUAUAUAGCUGUUAUAGUUCACAAACAUUAACAGAAAUUCAAAACAUAACUAACUAAGUCGAGUUGCCUACGUAGACAGUCGACUAUGUCACUUCAAUGUAGUUUUGAAAAUCUUUCCUUUGCAAAAAUACUCACAACACUGUUUUUGAAAAUUUGUGCAAAGUCACGAGUUUUAAUCGACUUACUUCAUAAUGAAGUUGACUUAAAACUUGCAGUUUUGCCACACAAUAUAAGUUCAACCAAGUGCAUGUGGUUUUCUUUUCUAAACACAUAUGUAAUGAAAUCACAGAAGAUAUCUCAUGUAAAGAUCAGUGAAUAUGCACACAUAUACAAAAUUAACACAAACAUGUUCUUCAAGAAUUCAUACACAAUAAAGUUUUGAACAUGUAACACAUAUCAAUACAUGUGUUAUUAAUAAUGUGUUGUCAUCAUCAAAAACCAAAAAUACUGUGAGAUUAAGGUUUAGCUAAACCAGUACUUCCCUUAUCAACAAUCUCAACAAGAGAUGUGGGACCUAAACCCUGUUUAAACAUUACAUUUCAUAUUUAAGAUCUCUGAGUCCUAUAUCCCUUAGUUUACUCAACCUACUUCCUCUACUACACCUACAUAGGCAAACCUAAGGCUUCCUUUGUAUUUGCAUUAAAUUGCAUUUCUUCUUUAAGAUACAAUUUAUCUCUUAGUUUGAAUUUUGGGUCUUAUCUUGUAAAAAACAAGUGGCAAUCCUUCCUUAUUAUUCCAUAUCAUGUAAGAACUAAACAAAUAAGAACAAAAAUGAAAUUAAAAGGUAUAAAAUGAAAAGGAGAAAAGGAAAAGAAACUUAGGAAAUUGAAGCCACGCUGUUUGGAGGGAUCCAAUAUAAGUGCAAGGGAGGAUCAUAAUUUGUUCUUUAAAAGAUAAGUCUCAAAAUAAUUUAGACUAAAAGAUAUAUUAUCUUAAAGAAAAAAUGUAAUUUAAUGUAAAUCGCUUUAAUUUUCAUUUAGUGAAAGGUUUAUUACUACAAAUGAGGCCUUAGGUUGCUUAUAUAGGUGUAAGAGAGGAAGUAAAUUAAGUAAAUUAAGUAAAUUGAAAGAUGUGGAACUUGGAGAUCUUAAAUUUGAAAUGGAACGUUAUAAACAGGUUUUAGGUACCACAUUUCUUAAUUCUACAUUACCCUAAAGAUAUAUAAGCUACCCAACUAGUGUAAAAAUCAAAACUAAAGUUAUAUCAUAGAUAACUUGAAUUACAAGCAACUAAAAGAGGAAAACUUUUUUAUUAUUUUUUCUUUUUAGUCCAAACUAUUUGGAGUCGCAUAUUGAUUGCACUUUAAAGAAAAAAAGGAUCUAUAAGUAUCUCUACAACCAAACUAAGGAACUAGCAAGGCAAAAUACAAACCUAUGAAAAUCUAUGCUAAUAAAGGCCAAAAUACAUGUUAUAAAACCUAUUCUAUUCUUUUCAUUUCUUCAUGUUUUCCUUAUGUCUUGAGCCAUUUAUGAUCACAUCAGAUCAGCCCAAUGAAAAGGGGUGAACUCAAAAGCUAAUCUGAGGUUGUUCACAAAGGGUGAACUCAGAAUUAUAGGUAGGGGUCAAAGACCCUGUUAUUUUCUUCAUUCUGUCUUUCUUGUGGACAUCUUGGUGCCCUCGUAAUGUUGUGAGAUUGCAUUUUAGUGCAUUCUGUUUUCAAGUCAUAGCAUGCUUUGUAUUGAUUACAAAAUGUAGUUUUAAAGUACAUGGACAUAAGGGUCUAUAUAAGAAAAUCCAGAUUUAGAUAAAGCCGUGUCUCAUGGAAUGUUUGCAAAUAAAGAAACUGUUUUUGGCACUGUAGUAGAUGCACGUCAAACUUCUUAGUAAAAAAGGAUUCACUGUGAUUUAUUUAAGGUGAUAUCAUAUGUCUUGCUUCUAAAGUAUGCUUUAGUAAUUGUUUUUACGUUGCAUGUUGCUGUUGAACGUGGAGUAAAAUUUUGAGUAGUAGACAGAGAAGAAAAGUGGAUCCCCUAUCACUUUCUUAUGAUUCAAUAGUGGUUUUCAUACAAAUAGUAGCGAACACACUAUAAACUGAAGAACUUUGUAAUUAAAACAGCUUAAACUCAAACCAAAUCUACUCUAGGAAAGCAAUAAAAUCUACCAAACUAGCUUUGUAGUGAAGGCAGGUUCAUAACAUUAGAGAGAAGGAAAACUCAGAACUGUAAAAUCUGGAAAAGGUUUUCUUAUUAGUCACUAUGUGGUUUUCAUCCAUCUCUAAUUUUGAUAUUCGCAUUCCGGUUCUGCAACACCCCGGACUCAUCAUUUCUAAUAGCAUAUGGCAUAUUACUGCAAUAUCUUCGCACUGGUUUUUUAUUACAUUAGUCUACUACAUCAUUUAAAUUGAAGAACUUUAGUUCAAAGUCAAAAGGAAUAGAUAAUUUGGUAGAAAGAAAAAAUGAGGUAAAUUAGGAGUUAUGAUUGUAUUCUGUUGAACAGUACGUAGCAUCAACUUAUGGGCUUUGCAAGUUUAUUGGAAGACAGGAUAUGAAUGACAUAGCACGGGGGAAUCUAUUGAUUGAUUUUCUUCACUCUCGGUUCUUUGCUUAUUGGUAUAACAAUCAAAGAAUAUUACACCCCGAUUGUACUUUAGUUUAAGUCAUAGGGAAAAUUCUCAGCUAAACUUUAAUGGUUGCAGAAGAGUAAUAUAUAUAUAUAUAUAUAUAUAUAUAUAUAUAUAUAUAUAUAUAUAUAUAUAUAUAUAUAUAUAAAGACCAUAUCAAUUUGAAUUGUAAUGUGUAACAGCAAUAGGUGGUAUAAAGUGAAAAUAGAAACUUCCUCAUUUCUCUUUAUGCAAGUGAUAAAAUAAAUUGGAGAAAGAAUGAGUGUGUGAGAGAAAAAGAAUGGAGGAUUCAUGCAAGUUGUGGUAAGAUGCAUUGUUUCAUGUGUGGGGUCGGGAAUGAAUAGGACACUCCUUCACACUUUCUAUCGCGCUUGUUUGGAUAAUUUUGUUCGUCUUUUGUUAAAGUCCUUUCUGGUUAAUGUUCCAAACCGCUCGAGGAUACUUGUCAAAGGCAUUUCGAUGCUUAAGUCAUUAAUUAAUCCAGACGAUGGUUAGAGCAAAGUCAUAAAUUCACAAUAAAUAUGAUCACUUACUUUUUAUCUUUGACCUCUAUUUAUAGUUUUAGAGAUGGGCUUAAGAUUAGCAAAACCCUAAUCACGACCCCAAUCUCGGUCCAUUAUCUACUAAUUAACACUUACUCUUAACCUUGUCUAUUUGGUCUUUACCCACAUUCGGCCGAGCAAUCAUCGUCUUAUUUUGUUCAAUUUCAUGGGUUCAGACAUAUUCGAUCGGUCAUCCCUCAAUGGCUCUUUCUGCCCGGUCUUAGCUAUGUUGUCAUCUGGCCAUACAGUACAAAGGCCUCCCAAGCCCUAGCCAACCCUGGGUGGCGUUGGAUUUGAUACAUGGGUGGUGUGGAGUAGGUCUCGUGGCUAUGGUUGGAGCUUCCCCAUACGACGUGAUUUGAAUUUGUGGUAGUGGUGGGAAGACACUUGUCUUAUUAAUUAUGUGUUGUCAUCAUCAAAACCAGAAGAUCUCUGAGAUUGUAAGGUUUGGCUAAAUAAGUGUUCCCUCUAUCAAAAAUCCCAACAACCUUCAACAAAGAAAGGUCAAACCUUCAACACAAAAGAAAAAGGACACACCUUGAACUAAGAGUACAGAGAGAACAGAGGAUUGGAGAGAGAACGGAGAGUGGAGAAAGAACAACAAAGAAGUUGAAUUAUAGAGAGAGAAUGAACCCUCUUUUUCUGAAUGAAAAAAGCAAGGGUAUUUUGGAAUUCAUAAGUGUAAUAUGAUUACAUUUUCCCACGUUACCUUUUUCAAAUAAAAAAUUUAUUUUAACCUUCUCCAAUACUGUUUUUAGACAUGGCAAUUGUGAAAAAGUUAUAAAAAAAAGGUUUAAUGUCUCGAUAAGUCCUUAUUUUCGUCCUGAAUCUCAAUUAGGUCCCUUUUUUUUCGACUUCUCGAUUAGGUCCUUAUUUUUGUAAAAUUGAAUCAAUUGAGGGUCUACCGUCAAAUUAAACAAACUGUCGUUUAAAUUUACUGACGUGACAUUAAAAACGAAUUUUAUAUUAAAAAUUUGAAUUACACAAGUGUGAAUUCAAAUUUAAGAAAGGGCAAAGUAGGCAAAAUCUAAAAUUUAAGUGCAGCCCCUAACUUCAAUCUUCCAUGUUCAUUUCAUUCAACUCAAAAUUAUAUUCUGUUCAUCAGCAUCCUUCCCAAAUUCCAUCAACGUUUCCCUGUCCUUAUCAUACAGCGGGCACUCAUUCUCCAACUAACAAAGUUGGACUACCAACUUAUCAAACUCCAGUGCCAGUCUAUGAUUCUCCUCCACGAAUUUCUUCAAAACUUGCACUCGCUUCAAACUGCUCUAAAAUACCCAGAAUUCCCAUCAUCAAAUUUUCAAAAAAAAGAAAAUGAAAGAUAAAGAUUCAAAAGACCAAUCUUGCAUAAAACAAAAUCAAAUGCAACCAAAACAAAAAGUAAAAAGCCUUCCAAUUCCAACAUUAAUAAACAACCAGUACAUGAUUGGAUUAAUGUGAGUAUUUCAACAAUUUACUGAAGCUUCACAAUUGAGAUUUCCCAAAUGCAGAUUAAAAAAUGAUGAUAAAAGCAAACAAAGAGGAGCGGACCUCACCUCGUCCACAUUAAAAUCCCGAUCAAUUAACCGGUGUCCUGAGUUCUCCAAUUCAGAAACCCUAACGCUCCUUCGAGUUUCUUUCGACACUUUCGCGACGGCGGAGUCCAAAUCCUUGCGGAGGAGCGUCCCUCCCAUGAUGAAUCCCUCUUGUUCGAAGGCAAAGAGCGUCUUGGACUGCGACGGAGAAGAACAAAAUGGAAAGGUGAGACCUUGAAGGAAAUGUAAAUGUUAUUGAUGGUGGCCAAGUCGUUGAAGGAGAUGACGUUGAAUGGAGGAUGCAGAUGAUGUUGACUGGCUUCAUUACUGAGAAGGAGUUUUAGGGUUUUGAAAGAAAAGGGGUUAAUGGAAGAAGAAAAGAGGUUUGUCUUUUUUGCCCCUCUGAACAUAUUUGAUUUAACUUUGCUUAAUUAUUUUUUAAUAUAAAAAUUAAUUCAAAUUUAUUUUUAAUGCCACAUAAGAUAAAUUUAAACGGUCGUUUGUUUAAUUUAACGGCAAGUCUCUAAUUCUUCAAUUUUACAAAAAUAAGGACCGAAUUGAGAAGUUGAAAAAGAAAUGGACCUAAUUAAGAUUCAGGGCAAAAAUAAGGACUUACGGAACUAUUAAACCUAAAAAAAAAAGUUGUUAACUUAUCGCGAUCCACAAUCAAUAAAUCUCCUUUAACACGAAAACUACCUAAAAGCAAUAUCUAUAACUUAAUGUAGUAAGGAAUUUUGACCAAUAAUUUUUUAGACACAAAGUAAUAUGCUUAAACUAAGUAUAAUUUCAAUGUCUAAUCUCUAUGCAAACUAGUAGAGUCCAUUCUCUACCUAUUGUAAGGUAGUGUGGUGUUUUUAUUACACCACUUUUACUUUGCACGUGGGUAAAUGAUAUAGAACAAUUAUAUUUUUUGUAAUCACCAACAAGACCAACCCCUAACUCUGCUAUCAAAUAAAAAAGGACGGAUCUAACAAUGUGAUUAAAGGAAUUUGAGUAACCUCCACCGCUAACUCAACAUGCAAGAGUUCAUUUUCAAAUGUAUUUAGAAGUCUAUAUCACAUAUAUUCAACUAUAACUUCAAUUACUCAAAAAGCAACUUGAGCUGUAAGGAGUGCAAUGGGAAAACUCCAACCUAGAAAUCAAAACAAUAGAAACAAAAAUACAACCAAACUUAGGCAAAGACUAAAUUAGUUGAGAAAGUUAUUUUUCUCAAUUUAUAAAGUAUAAAAGAAAAAUUAAAUGGAUUUUUGAUGCAAAAAAGAAAUUUUAAUUUGAAAAGAAAAUUCAUAGGAUAGAAAUGGUAUUUUAUCAUGCUAGUAUAAGGUAGGAUAUGAUUAUGAAAAUGGAGCAUUGGAGUGAGACACUAAAAGAAAUAUUAGAGAAAAACAAACGUUUUUGCAUGCAUGAGAAAGAGAGAAUGAGGGGGAAGUUUUACAAUUUUUUAACUCAAAAAUUUGGGUUCCAUCUUUAAUUUUGUUUAUAUUUUUUUACAUUUACCAAACUAAAUUAUAUAUGUAUGGUCACAAAUGAAAUUAGUAAAUUUAGGAAUAAAUAUAAAAAUCACAUACUUUCAAAAAUAGAGAAACCAAAUGUCUCACCCGGUUUAUUCAAUCAUAAAUUGUAAUAGUUGGUACCUAAUGUUUUAACUAUAAUGUUUUAAUUAAUUAAAAAUAUAAAAAUAUUUAAUAACUUUAACUUUUAUAUUGAAUACUUCUUCGUUUAAAAAUAUGAUUUCAAAAUAGUAAUGUUUUCCCUUCCGAACAUAAAAUUCACUUCAAUAGUUUUCUAAAAUAAUACAGAAUUAUUCACUGUUUUUAUAAUCAUAUUAAAGAUUCGUGUAUUAUUUUAUCUUAAGUCCGUAAAAUAUCAUAUCGGUCGUUUAUCGACGAAAUAGGCGAAAACUGGAAAGCAAAGACUGAAGGGAUAUGUUUUGCUUAGCGAUGAAGGAAAUCUAUAUUACAAAUAAAUUAAAAAAACAAUGUCAUAAUCAAUUAAAUAUAAGAAAAAAAUAGUAAGAACCUGAUUCUAUUUUAUUUUCAUUGAAUUAACAUACCUAUAUAUUUUUGUCUGUGUCUGAAGUAGAUUCUAUUUAUACAUUCUACGAAUCUAAUACUGAUUCUGUGUUAACAUCAUACUUCAUUUUUGUCUGCCAUAAGCAGAUUCUGAUUAUAGCUGCAAUUGCAAAUAUAACAUGAUUGAGGUUAUACUUGCAACAUAACGAAAUACUUUCCCAAAAGGGCUCUUAUUUUCGUAUUGGCCCCAAAGGUUUUGGAAUAACAGCCCAUUACAAAAGAUACUUUAUUCUUUCUUUCUUCAAUCACUUUUAUUGCAGGAGGGCAGUUUGAGAUCUAUUUAGGUUAAACUCAUUCGGAGGUAUCUAUUUUUGUGUUUUUGUUUCACUUACAUUUCUGUCUUUUAUUCUUUCACCAAUUAGAUUCUUAAGAUUGAAAAAUUGAAAGAAUUUGACCUUUGCCGUUAAAUCAAGCUAACAGGAUUAACUUUCAGCUUACAUGUAAGGGUGAGGUGGAUAAAUAUGAUCACGUGGCGUGCACAGAAGGGUUUGUUUAUGUACGUGGCAUUAAAUUUAAAAAGUAGGGGUUUUGUUAAACAUUUUAAAAUUAGGGUUAUUUUAAAAUACAAUUAGGAUUAAAUCUCUUUCAGUAGUGGAGUGGUGGUUCCAACAGCACCGACUCGUCAUCACUGGCGAUGUCUACGGCUCAUCCUCAGUUGCGCCUCGGUGCUACUUCUACCGGUCUCUCCACCGUCAAGUGCAUGCAAAACGUGGCCGCCAAAGCCGUCGCGCAACGCCUCACUCGUGUCAUGGCAUCUCAGAACGCCAUCAUCGACGAAGGUGAAGAUGACGAUGAUCUCGAUUUCCGGUUCAGCGCUCCGCCUCCUACAUCUAUUUCUUCUUUCUCCAUCAACGCCAUCAGUAACAGGAGCACCAACACAAAUGCCUCCACUAUUCCUCCGAUUUUGGUUGCCAAGCCUAACAGAUCUACUUCUCCUACGAUAACUCUCUCUGCAAUUCGACACUGUUGGGUAUGUCACUGUUUGUCCAGAAUUUCAGGAAGAAAAUAGAAGAUAAACGUCACGCUAGAGAGAAAAAAUCACCAUGGUCGCGAACCGAACAGUGAGAAGGAAUUCAAAGUGAGCGCGUUGAAUGAAGAGAAAAAAAAAUAAAGUGAAUAAGAUUAACUGAAUAAGGAAUCCACCUUGUGGUCGCGACUACGGUAUUUGAACUGGCGAGGGAAAUAACGAAGGACGUAACUAAGGCCGUCAUCGGAGAGAAACAUCUCUGGUGUUAGUUUGGGCCUUGUUCGAGGAAGUUUCUUGGGCUUUUCGGUUGUGAAUCUGGGCUUGAAAGAAAAGGAAGAAGGAUUGGGAGUGGGAUUGGUGGAGGCGUUAGGGUUUGGAUUGGAAUUGGGAGCAGAGAAAGGACAGUCUCGUGACCAAUGACCUGGUCUGCCACACUUGUAACAGCCUGUGGCGGUUGCUGUUCCUUUUCCUCCAUUUUUUCACUUCUCACUGAUCACUCUCCUUUCCCAACACACCAUCUAUCUGUGGUGCGAUGGUGCUCCACCUGGACAGGAUAGAAUGCGGUGAUAGAGCUACGUGGUACAAGCAACUGUUAUCGGCAAUACUGCAGCAAUGAUUUUGAUGAUUGAGUGUCUGGUGCAGGAGGUGGUCGUCGGCGACGGUGUGGUAGCGAUCUAGGUGGCGCGGCGCAAAUAGUGAAGUAAGGAAGUUUUAGGGUUUAUGGAAGGAAGAAGGAAGAAUUUUCAGUUAUUUUAAAAAAUUUAUUCAGAAUAAAAAUUAAAUAAUACAAAUAAUUAAUAAUAAUAAUAAUAAUAAUAAGGUUAAGAAACACUAAUUUUUUAAUUCUUUGUUUAAGAUACUGACACGUGUAUAAUAAAACCAACGUAACAGGUUCUGUGCACACCACGUCACCAUAUUUGUCCACCUUACCCUCACAGGUAAGAAAAAAGUUAACCCCGUUAACUUGAUUUAACGUCAGGGGUCAAAUUCAUUCAAUUUUCCAAUCUUAAGGACCUAAUUGGCAAAAAAAAAAAGAUGAGGAUGCAAGUGGGACAAAAACACGAAAAUAGGGACCUCUGAAUGUGUUUAACCAUCUAUUUACCUGUAUUGAUGUUAAUUGAAGAGAAGGUGCUUAUUAAAUAAGUCUACUAAGUUCAUGGGGUACCAUAAUUGAGAUCUGGGACACUAGAUUGGUCGAAGAACCUUUAAUGAUUGGAUUGUGAAUAGGUGUAUGGUAAGUAAAAGUCUAUAUAAAUAUUAUAAAUAAAAAGUUUAAGGUAAUUGUUCACUUUUACUGCAACAUUUAGUAUAGCCUUUGGAUCAAUACUAAUUUAAGCAUCAGAGUGUAAUCUAUAAGUACACUUCGAACGAUUUGGACAACUUGAGACCUUAAGUAUUGAAAGGAGCUGAAAAUUGAAGUUAACCUAAGACCGAGACAUAUAGGAAAUGGAAAUGCUUGACCAAUCUAACAGAAACAUUUUUGUACCCACCGUGGGACCGAACGAGCACUUUUUUGCUGCUAUGGUAAUCACAAAGAACAUGACAAACAAUGAAGUACUAGAGGAGCAGCAUGUGGAUCCUAUGGCUAUGAUGCACGACAUGAGAAGGGAGAUGGAGACUAUGAGAAGGAAGCAUGAAGGAGAGAUGACAAUUUUGCACACAGAAAACACACUUAUGAAACAAAAACGGAAACUAAGGGACAUGUACAAUCCACCCCAACUCAACUUGGACCAACCAAACAACCAAGAAUCGAGCAUGAUCGAACAGUUCAGAAGAAAAAUUAUGGAGCUAGUAGAGAUCACAACCCAUCUGUCACUGUCACGGUAGACAUGUCUGGGUGCACCCGUUUACUAGUGGAAUCAUUAAGACCCCUUUACUAGACAAUUGGAAGAUGUCAACGUUUGACAAGUAUGAUGGAUCCACGAAUGUUAACGAGCACAUCAACAUUUGUCUAACGCAGUUGGUGUUAUUCACGUCAGAUGAUAUCAUUUAGUGCAAGGUAUUCCCAACAUCACUAAAAUGAGCCAUCCUCGAGUGGUUCAAGCUUCUAUCUGUCAACUCCAUCGGCUGCUUCGCCACAAUUAGAACGAAAUUUAGAACAUAAUUCACCACUAGCCAACAACAUCAUCUAACGUACAUAGCGCUUGUCAACAUUCGACAAUACAAAGAUGAAAUCCUCUGAACAUUCAUAGAUCAAUUUGGAAAGAUAUCUUCACAAAUAAAGGACCUAAGUCAUAAAGUGCCUAUGCAUCAGAUAAUUCACCAAAAAAACUUGUGGGAUCGUUCCCCAAUAGCCUGUUAUGCAGUCUACCACAAAUUUAGACGAUUUGAUAUAGAGAGUAGCAAAGUACAUGCAGCGAAAGGGCUUGAAAGGCUUUCGAAAGCAAAUGCGACUAUAAAGAGCAAAUGUAAAUAAGGGUACAAAUAAAAAAUCAUUCACCAAGAAUCAAGACUCAAAGUUACGGAGUCAAUCAGAGGUCCCCACUUCCAUAACCACACACCAUCGAACAAUGGUUGUUCGAAAAUCCUUUGGGAAGCUCUAAACACAUACUUGUUACCAUCACCUAGAAGAAAGGCAACCCUGUUGAACCUUGAUAGUAAUAAACAUUGUUAAUAUCAUCAUCACUUAGGCCAAAACAACGAUGAGUGUCUACCGCUAAAAUAUAAAAUAGAAGAGUUCAUCCAACUUUGACAGUUAAAGAAGUUUGUCAAAAUUGAUUAAACCCCUACCAUAGAGAAGAACCCCUAAAUGAGCAGUAUCAAUGUACAAAUAGUAUAAGGAGCAGCCUAGGUGAAGAAGCCGAAGUAAGAACAAGAGUCGGGAUGGUCCAUCGAGGGAAACAAUCAACACAACCUAAGGAGGUUUCGCUUGAGGAGGGCACACAAUAUUUUCCUAAAAGAAUCACAUUUGAGCAAUUAAAAUGAUGAAUCUCGUAGAGAAGAGAGUUAGAAGCACGCCCUUCAUCACAUUUUCUAACGAUGAUUAUAAAGCGCCUGACCCUGACCAAGACGACUUGAUGGUCAUCUCAAUCCAGCUAGCCGACUAUGCUAUAAGCAAGAUUUUGGUCAACCAAGGCAGACAAGAAGAAGAAGGAGUUGUGCUUACAACCUUCACGGCUUCCCCCGACCGAUUAGCAGAUUCCUCUUGCUCAACAAGUUCAACAGCAGCUUUGAAGAAAUUCUUCUUUAGAUUGUGGGAUGCCAUAAUCUCUGAAAGACAACAAAAAAUUUAGCUAGGUUAAAAUCAAGUCAAAAACAAACGACAAAAGGAAUGCCAUAUCGAACACCUCAGUACUGAGGUCCUCCCCACCAAGGCAAUUGAUUAUCUUUGAGGAAGGGAGCUGGCGAGGCAAGUCAUCAAGAACAUUGAGUGCCUCCUGCUCGGCCGGAGUCAUAUCUGACUGUAACCAGGAAGUCACCCAAGUAGGGUCUUCGGUCUAGUACAAAGAAAAUUUUGGUCACUCGUCUUCCCCAAAGAAUAGUAGAUGGCCAAACUCGGUUAAUUCUACCUUAAAAAAUUUAUCAUUGAAGCCCUUGAAUGAAAGAGAAUAAAGCUCAAAUAAGGCUUUCCCUUGCUCGAAGAUCGGGGCGACCCAACCGCGUUUCGGAAUAUGUCAGGUCCAAAAGUAGUGAAGAAAAAGAGCGCGGGUGUAGGUGUGAGGUCCAACACUUAGCAAACGAUGGCGAAGGCCUGAAUAUACCCCUAGUUAUUUGGAUGCAGUUGGAAUGGGGCAAUAUUUAGAGUACGGAGGACGUCCAUUUGAAAAGAGCUAAACGACAGAUACACAAACAUCUCAUGGAACAUAUAAGCGUAAGCGAAGAAGAAGUCACUCUUACUCCCUCCUUUUCCAUGAAACACACGGUCAUUCUCCUCACGGGCCAUUAACCUAAAUAGAGGACCAAAAUCCAUUGACCGCAACACAUAGUUACAAUCAGUCCAGUCCGCCAACUGACUCAUGUCAUGAGACGCUUCAAAAGUAGGUGGAGAACUCACUCACAUCAUGAGACGCUCAGUCGUAGCCCGCGACAAUGGGCAAAGCUCCCACCUGCUUGUUCUCCUCCUUAGCACCCUCCAUAAUCACCCCUCCAUAGACAAAGGUCCACUGACCGUUGAACAUAACCUCUUUAUUUUCUUCUACAAUGGAUUCAUUACCAUCACAACCACCAUCCCGCUCGGUUGACUCCAUGAAGGAGGAAGAAGACUCCGAGCCCACCGAGAAUGAGACCCCAUCAUUGCCCCACCCGCCCCUUCCCGAAGACUCCUCAGACGAAGAGAGGUUCAUGGUAGCCAUUUAUUACAUGAAUUAAAAAAAAGACAAAUAACACUUUCAAACGUUGGAUGAAAAUACGUGAAAAUUAUACAAUGGGUCUUUCCUAUUUAUAGGCAGCAAAUGGAGGACCCAAAGAUCGUCCUAACUGUUGGAUGUAAAGAAAUCCAACGGUCUGAUUCAAAGACUCCAUAACUUCCAUCCAGCAUGAGAAACGAAAAAUCACAUCCAACGGUUAAGAACAGCUGACCUUGCACAUUCCUAUCAACGCAUGAAAUAGAACCAAACGCCAAUGGUAACAAUUUCAAAAUCAAGGCAACACCCCACCCAAACCAUGCACGCUCACCAAACAGUUAGUAAAGUCCCUUGCACAUUCCUAUCAACGCAUGAAAUAGAACCAAACGCCAAUGGUAACAAUUUCAAAAUCAAGGCAACACCCCACCCAAACCAUGCACGCUCACCAAACAGUUAGUAAAGUCCCUUGCCAAACAUGUUCGUCUCGAACUUGGGAGUCUGUGUACUGUAUGAACCGACCGAUAUACGUAUACCGGUAGACCACACGAUUAAUCACCUUUAGAAACGCAUUACAACCAAAUUAAACGAACGGUCACUUACAACACUCAUCGUCGUUAGGUAUAAAGACUUUAGAUUAACAAAGUAAAAACAUACUUAAACAAUGUUAGGCUUACACUUAUCCAAAGAUAAAGACAUAGGUGAUUACAUUUGGCAUUUGAGACUUAAUUAUAACCAUUCGAUAAGACUAACUUGAAUAUCAAGAGUACAUUUCUCCUCAGAAUUUUGAGGAGAAUAACAACAUAUUAUAAGAAAGUUAAAGAGUUAAUUGAAGGCAACAAACUAGAUUAGUAUAUAUGGAAACACAUUAUUUAAAUUGUCACUCAAAACAUAUCUUAAUUACGUUUCCUCACUUCCGCAUCAAUUUAGUUUUUUUAUCAAUUUUUGUUUAAAUAUUUAGUCGAAACAUAUUCAAAAGUUACACAUUCAAGAUGAAAAGGAAAUAAUUUAAAAAAUAACCAAGAUAGUAAAAUAAAAUUUAUUGUGGAUAUGGAAUUGCUUGAUUUGAUUUUAACCCACAAAUAACACCAAUUCAAUCAAAUCCAAGUUAGUGUAAUGAGUGGAUUUGAUGAAACCUCAAUCACAACAUUGUCCAUAAUAAGAACACGAGAAAGAAACUAAAAUUUAAAAAGCACAGCAAAACUUCUUGCCGGGGAGGAAGAAAUGACAAACUUUGGUAUUUUCUCAUUGAAAUGGUAGACAAUAAUACAACAACGGUGUAACAUUGGUACAAUAAAGAUAUGUCUGUCACUAUUUGCUGCACGAGGACCUUCAAACUACUUAAUUCAUACAGAAUAUCUUUCCAUUAUGCCCCAAGAGAAAAGAAGAAACAUAUGUACAAGGGUUGAGCUUUUAUGGAACCCCUCCAGAGGGUCUCACUGUUUUGUGAAAGGCCGUGUAUAACAUUUGUGAAGGGAUAAAUCCUGAACUAUUGAGCAUAUAUGUAAUAGGCCAAGUCAAAUAAAAGCCGCAUCUUUCUGUUGUUAGUUUUCAAAUUUGUAUCAAUUGUGGGAUAAGCUUCAAAAGGAAAGAUAAAUCCUGCUGUGAAAAUUGUGGAUUUGAGUUCCCCUGCACCGUCACACUCCCCUCCGUAAAACCCUCCCCAUCACCACCCUUUUUUGGCUUUAUCAUAUCUGCAACUGCUUCGGUUAUUUCUUUAACCAGAUCCACAAUUACUCCAUCAAUUCCCAUUAGAUGUUGCAUGUAAACUGCCUCAGGAACAUUGCUGCAAUGUCAAAUAUAAUCAUGAGCCAAAAUGUUACACCAAACACAUUCUUUUCUCAAGCAAUUAACAAAGGAAAGAGAGUACUAAAAACAAGCAUACUUUAAUUUGCCGUAAGAAAGGAGGCAGAGCUUGGACUCCUUUAUCUUGGUUACUGUAGAAGGAUCUCUAAAAAUCCCUUUAAUUUCUGAGACAAUUCCUUCCAAUCCAUUCUCAACAGAGAGCUUCAUGGCCUCCUCCAGUGAGUUUCUUCUCACAUCUUCAUAGAUUUCACAUCCUCCAUUUGUCAAGAAAAAGACCUGGUUGUUCCCAACAAAUUAACCACAACAUCAGAUCCAGUUAAAGAAAUAAAAUAAUUUCUCAGAACUAAAAAGGCUUAAAGAACUAACAGGGUAGUUGCUUUGCAAUUUCCGGAUGAGCAAGGCUGCAUCUGGCUGGAAUGUUGAGAAGAUAAUAGGUCUAUCCUUGGCGUAUUCAAACACAACCUGCACCCCACAAAUACCAAAGACAAUGAGAGAUCCAAGUCACCACUUUUGAAAUGUAAAACUAAAACAAAACACUCAGUGUCCCCCAUAAACACAUUUUAGGCUUAAAAUAGACUCUCUUAGCGUACCUUUAAGAUGGUUUGAAGGACAUGGACGAGAUAAUCUUGCUCAUAGACAAUGUGAUCAUCGAACUUCAACUCAAUAUUAAAACCAAUAGCGGGUUCCACCUUCACAAAAGCCUCUUGGAGAGUGCAAAGUGAGUCAUCUUGUUCAACAUCCCAUGGCAUUAUCUUCCCAUCUUUUUUCCUUAGCAAAACCUUUCCCUCAUUGCCAUGCUCUCUCUGAGGCCCAUAAGAAAGAAACUCUGAGAGACUCAGCUCUGUGAUCCUCCUUCCAGUUACAGCACCCUGCAAAACACAUUAAUUUCAACGUAACAAACCCAAAAAACUCGACCCAUUGAAAAGAAAAAGAAAGAAAUCAUCAAAGCUAAGCAAAAACAAAAAAACUCACAUUCUCCUCCGAGAAGAUGAAAUCGUCGUGGAAAAUGACGGGGCAAUCAUCUCUCGUCACCUACAAAAAACGUGCAUUUUUUAAUUCGUUUUCUUUUUUUUUUCUAUAAAAAAUGCAACGCGUCAAACAAAAACAAACAAGCAGCCAAUCAGUACCGAACAGACGGUCAAAAAAGGGCCGAGAAAGGCAAAUUAUUUACAGAAAAGCCAUCGGGGUAAAAUAGGAAAAGAAGAAAAGUAGUUGUUGCGAAACACAAGAAGCGAAAACGGUGCGCGCGGUGGAACAUUAAAUUAUUGCAUUGAGUGCAAAAGCAGAAAGAGGAAAAUAAAAGAAAAGGUCACCUGAACGUCAAAUUCUAUGAAAUCGAGAGGAAAAGUAGAGGCGGCGUUGAAGGACAUAAUGGUAUUUUCCUUUAUGGCUCUCAUUCUUCGAUCCGAAGAUUGCAGAACGUUCAUGCCGUUACCCCUGUGGCCGAUGACGACGAACUUGGGCAUCUUGAAGCCACUCCGAGCAAUCUCGACCCCUGCAUUAACGAUUAAAAGAAUGUUAGGAAGAAAAGAUGGGAAGAGGAAGAAGAGAAGGAAAGAGAUGGAAAGAACCGUUGGGGAAGCGGGAGGAGCAGAGGGCGAGAGAGGCAUUCUCGGGGACGUGGUCAAGGGAAGGGACGUCGGUGACAUGGACGGCCUUGAGAGCCAUUUGGGUGGAAGGAAAGAGAGAAAGGAGGAAGGGGAAAGGGAGGUGGUGAUGAGGAGGGCACCGGAUGGUUUGUGGGUGAUGGUGGUGGUGGUGAAGAACAAGGCAUGGUUUGGUCCGCUAUUUAUUGCUUCCACCUACGCCAAAUUCACCCUCCAACGGAUCUCCCCACGAAUAUUCCCCUCCCAUCUAUAUGCUUGGGAUAUUCCCUUGUCAUUUUCCACCCUUUCAAUUUCAACCUACACUUUUUCUUUUUCUAUAUCUAUAUCUUCAACAAAAUAUGUCAUUAUAGAUUUUUUACUAAUUUAUUGGACUAGAUUUUCGUCUAAUAUAUUAAUAAUAAUACCAUAUUUAAAUAAAAUAUUUAUAUAUAUCAUCCAAAUAAGUUCAAAAUAAUAACUGAAAAUUUUGAAACCGAACAAUUUUUUUUUAUACAAAAUUUAAAAACAAACACCUUUUCAACCAUUUAAACCACUAAAACAACCAACAAUUGUUUUAUCUCUUACUACAACUUCCAAAAAUAAAGCAAUUGACCAUGAAUACCUUUCAAUUCCAACAGACUUUGAAGCUAGCAUAAAAAAAUCUUGAAACAAUAUCGGAUAACUAGGAAUUGGUUCGAUCAAUUUCCAGCACAAACUGUUCUAGACACCAAAAAUGGAAGCCCUAUGACCAUUUUAAGAGGAAAAGCUAUACAUCUUUUAAUUGGAUGAUUUUAUUUAUUUUUUAAAUAAAAAAAGUAAUUCUUUAUUUAUGUAAUAAAAUAAAUUAUUAAAUAUUGUUUGUUUAAAAAAAAUAAAUUUCUAAAAUAACACUUGCGUAAAAUUAUAUAUAUUUUGUAGUGAUUGGAAACAAUGCUGUGGUGGUGGCGGGUGAGAAGUGGCUGGGUGACAGCUGGGGUAUUAUGUUAUAGUCGUUGACCUGUGACAAGGCAAACUACAAGGUUUUUGAAGAAAAUCUGUGGUGGGAUCGUCCGAACAUUGCGGACUACGGUAUUUUAUAAGAUAGAGGAUGAAUGAAGAAACAUAAUUGAUCGGGUAUGACGUGGUGACACAACAGCAUGUAGAUAGAUAGAGAAAGGUGGGUGGUUAUAAUUGGAUAAGACUACAAAAAGGAUUUAGGAAUGACUCAUGGCUGCCUUUGCCAAACUAUUAAUUUUAUUUAAUGAUAAAAAUUGAUGUUGUCUUUGUACUUUUAGGAAAACAAACAAAAAGUUAAAAUACGGUGGAAACAAUUUGAUAAAAAAAUUGGAAUUUUUUUUGAAAAUAAUGUAUUUUAAUUAGUUUGAUAUAAAAUAGAAACAUUAGGAAAUAUCACAUUCUAUGUUUUUAAUCUUUACGAAAAUAUUUAUUAGUAUAAUUACGUGGUACAAGUAAAAAUCUUCUAGAUAAACUAGAAUUCUCUAUAAGUUGAAUUGCUGUCUGAUUGAGGAGAAGCGGAUUGAGCUUCAAGAAAAAGGAAAAGUAGAGAAAGAUUCAUGUACAAAAUAAAGUUAAUAAAAAAGUAUAAAUAGUAUAAGUGUGAAUAGGAGAUAUACCUGGAUCAAUAGACACACAUUAAAUCGAUUAAUAUUUCAUAUAUGAUAAUAAGAUCAAGAGAUAAUAUGAAUAAAUUUGGAUUGGACUCAAAUAAACCUUUAUUAUAAAAGUUAUUGGGUUUGGACUUAUUUAGUUUUAAAUAUAUAAUUUUGGUUUAAUAAAUUUUAAAUGAUUUUUAUUUUUAUAAAAUUAAAGUAUACAUGAGAGAGUCCGUGUAUAUAUUAAUCUCACAUGACAUUAAAAUCGAGUUUUAUAUUAAAAGUUUUAAAUGUACAAAGGUGAACUUCAGGGAAGACAAAGUAAAAAAAAUUAAAAAUUUUAAGUGGAUCUCCCUUUAAUUUAAAAAUGCAAAUGAGAUUGGGAAAAAGAAUCGAAGAUCCGUAUUAUUAGAUUUGUGUGAGAAAAAAAAAAUCGCAUUCUUUCGUUCAAAAUUUUCUUAAAAAAACUGAAUUUAUAUGUGAUAGUAGCUCAUCCUCUGCAAUUAUAAAAAUAAAAUAGACUAAAUUCUUAUUACAAAGCAAGAGAGGAGGAAAAGAUCUAAGAGUUUUUAUAUCUUGGUAUGCAUUUAGCUACAGUAUGAGCUCCAGAUUUAACUGAUAACAUAGUCCAUGUAAUUUAAUUUGGACAAUGAAUGAAAAGUGACAAUGACUUCCAGAUAUCCAUGAUUUAAAUUACAAUGGAAAAAUAGAAGAAGAAAUGAGGAAGAAUGUGAGGGACUGGGACUAAUUAAUAUAUUAAAUAUUUUACAUCUAACUCUCUUAAUGUAUACACUUCUUCUGAACUUUAUCUGAGAUGAACAGUUAUAGAGAUGAACAGUCAGAGAGGGUGUUGAAAGAGAGAGCUCCCAAUGCAAUUCACAUCCUCCGCUUCAUGCUCUACCAUAUCACUCUCAAAUGGCUGCCAUGCAAUGUGCUCUAACUUCUCUUAUGGACUCUCAAAACAAACCAUAUGCCUUCAACAAAUCAACAUUAGAAUUACCUUUCCAGGACGCUUCUUCUUCUUCCAGCAACAAUGAGAAAUUCUCUUCAAAAUCCAAAAAGUACUCCUCUAAUUUACACCUCACCAUCUUUCAGCCAUGGGAAAUCAUACACCCCAAGUCCCAACUCGAAUUCCCAUGCAUCUCAACAACAAUCCUCUUUCUCUCUAAUAAAGAACGAAGAAAGAAAGAACGAGCGAUUUUUUUCCCUCACACAAACCUUAUAAUACGGAUUCUUAAUUUUUUAAUGCCAUGUAUGAUUAAUGUAUACAUUGAUCAUAUCACGUAAGCGAAACUUAAACGAUCUUUUGUUCAAUUUGACGGCAGGCUCUAAUUACUUCAAUUUUUAAAAAAUAAGGAUCUAAUUAAGAUGGCAUAAAAAAAAAGGGACUUAUUUGACAUUUUGGACCAAAAUAGGAACAAACCGAGACAUUAAACCUAUAGUCUUUCAUAAUUAUUCUUUUCCAUUUGUUAUUUAAAAAACGUUAAAAUUAGAAAAUGUUAAUUUAUAUAACAAAGAUAAUAAAGAAUUUUAAAUGGAAAUAAUUAUAAUUUUAAAGCAUAAAAUUUAAUAAAUCUAUACUUAUAUAUAUAUAUAUAUAUAUAUAUAUAUAUAUAUAUAUAUAUAUAUAUAUAUAUAUAUAUAUAUAUAUAUAUAUUAUGGGUUUGUUAACGUGCGUAUGCCUCUUUUCAGUUGGUACAUUUUAACAAUGUGUACCGGAUUAUAGUAGACAAAAAUAUCAUCAUAUAUUAUGGAUUCUAAGUUUUAAAGUCAAGGAUAUUUAAAUAAUUUUCAUUCUGAAAACUAAAAAAAAAAAAGAAAUCCCCAAACCCUUACUCACCUCUCCCAUUCCUAUCAAUUCUUUCUGUUUCAUUUCUCUCACUCCAACUUUUUCUCUGUCAUUUUUACUAUAGCCCCAAUUAAAAAAAAUUAGAAAAACUUGCUGUUAAGAAAUUUCUUACAAAAAAAUGAUUUUAUAAUGAGUUUUCAUUUUAUAACUUUUGUCUUAUCUAAUUUUCACAAGCAUAAUGACAUAUGAAGGAAUUGGUAAUUCGCCUGAAAAAAAAAAUAAAAAACACUCGCUAUUAAACAAUUUCUUACAAAAAAUGAUUUUAUAAUGAGUUUUCAUUUUAUAAUUUUUGUCUUAUCUAAUUUUAUUUAAUUUUCACAAGCAUAAUGACAUCAGAAGGAAUUAGUAAUUGGCCUGAAGAUUUUUUAAGAAAUGACGAUUCAACAUCUGCAGAUGAUGAAAUUAGAGAUGUUAGUGAAGAUGAUGAAAUUGAAGAGAUCUUGAAUGAACCUUUGCCUGAAAGCGAAUAUGCCAAUGACUCAACUCUUUACAAAGGUAAAUUGUUUAAGGAUGAGUAUUUCUAAUUUUUUUUUCAAUUGGAUCUACCAUAGGAUGAUAGAGAAACGGUUGGAGUGAGAGAGAUGAAAGAGAAAGGAUUGAGAGGAAUGAGAGAGGUGAGUAAGGGUUUGGGUUUUUUUUUUNUUUUGUUUUGAGAAUGAAAAUUAUUUAAAUAUCCUUGACUUUAAAACUUAGAAUCUUAAUAUAUGAGGGUAUUUUUGUCUACUAUAAUCCGGUACACAUUGUUAAAAUGUACCAACUGAAAAAUAGGCGUACAUAUAUAUAUAUAUAUAUAUAUAUAUAUAUAUAUAUAUAUAUAUAUAUAUAUAUAUAUAUAUAUAUAUAUAUAUACAAACACACACACACAUACGGGGUUUGUUAACAUACGUAAGCUAUAUUUUUACAGUUAAUACAUUUUAGCAAAGUAUACCGAGUUUUAGUAGACAAAAAUACCCUUAUACAUUAUGGAUUCUAAGUUUUAAGGUCAAAGAUAUUUGAAUAAUUUUCGUUCUUAAAACUAGAAAGAAAAACAAGAAACCUGCAAACCCUUAGUCACCCUUCUCUCAUCCCUCAUUCCUCUCAACCAUUUCUCUUUUAUCACUCUCUGUAACCUUUUCUCUGUCAUCCCUAUAAUAGCCCCAACUGAAAAAAAAAAAAUCAGAAACACUCGCAUAACCCUAAUCCACCUUCCUCAUUUAUCCAAUUUGUUUCUCUCUCAUCUUCACCUCUCUCGUCCACACACAGUAACUCGCGACAUUGCAAUUUGUAGUUCUUGCUCUGUUCGUUCAUUUGUUUCCACUUUAAUAACAAAAUAAUUGAUGAUGUUGAUGUUGAUUUUUGAUUGAAGGGUUGUUAUAUUUUUUUCCCUUAUGAUUAUUAUUAAAUUUUGUUUUUAAAUUUUAGAAUUAGUAGUUUAUCUAUAGGGAGAUUUGAUAUUUUGACUAUUAAGUUGUCCGAAAAUAUUUUUCAGAAGAGAAAAAUAGUUACGUGGAAAGGCGAUUCCCGAAAGGGUAAGUCAUUGUCCAAAAAAUGGAUUUCUGAAGUCAGUUCUUAAAAAUAAUUCUAAAAACAUAUUUUGCGCUGAAAGCAAUACUUUGGAAUAUACUUUUCACCUUCCUGCAUAUAACCAACGUCAAAACACAACAAAAAAUGAAGCUCAUGUACAUCGUACUAAAUGAUUUAACAGGAAAAAAUUAUUGAAGAGAGUUAUGAACAUAAAAGAAUUUUGUUGUUGUCCACUAGACUUUUCACUCAAUUCUGGUUGUGUAAUAUUGUUCAUCACUCCUGAUGUCCACUAGACAAACUCGUCUAGGUACCGCUUAAUCCAACCAAGUUAAGCCUUAAGUGUUUGAAUUAUCUUCAAAAUAUGCAAUCAAUCAAAUCACCUACAAGUCAUUAGAUGAUUACUCUCAUAGUGAGGAUUUGCUUACAAUAUAAUUCAAUCUAAUAGACUUUUGAAAUUUUCUUUUUUCUUACAAGUGUAACUUUCUAACUCUAAACAACUCUGAGAGUAUUCUUGAUCUUUCAAUGAGGAUGAUUUUUCUUUAUAUUCCUUAUGUGUCCAUCCUUUUUUCCUUCUUAACCAGAUAUCUUCUCUUUAUAAGCGUUUUUUGAGAAUUUAGUCGUUAGAUGAUGCUUGUCUUUGAAUUUUAGCUCUUUGUAGCCUGCCUUUAUCAUAGGUGGUUGUCAUAGGUUGAGGUCUACUUGUCAAAGUAGGCUUACUUUUUUAGUACUUUAUCAAAAGUAGGUUGUACGAAUUCUUUGGCUCGACUUUUGAUAAGAAGGUCAUUCCAUGAAUGUCUUCUUUGUCUCUAACUUGUAUUUGAUAGAGAAGGUGGAUGCUUGACUUAGGUAAUUUGCAUAAAGUAGAGUAGAUAUUCAUACAAGCAUAUAUGUCUGUUUUCCUUUCACUUUUGCUAUUUUGAGACAUUGUGUUUUUUAAUGCGCGUUUAGAACAACUAUAAGUAUUUUAAAAUUUCCUUGCUCAAGCAGCAUUUGGUUGUUUAAGCAUUCUAGUAGAGAUACCUAGUAGAUCAUGAGAGUUUCAUCAUUGGAUGAAAACUUCGUUUAGCACAUGAUAUCGUUUAGCCUAUGCAAGGCUUUUCAUAAUAGUGCCUUGUUUAAUAAAUACUCGUUUGAUUUAAGAGCGCAUUUAGUGAGAUAUCUUUCAACAUCAAUUUUUGGAACAAUGAUUGUAUCUUUUAGCACAUUUACCAAAAACAUCAUUUUAUAUAUAUCAUAGUGAGAUCUUGUUUAGCUUUGUUUAGCAAAGUAUAGCACAAAUGUGUUUAACAAGACUCUCAUAUAGCUCAAUGACGCAUUUAGUAGUGAAAUCGUUUAGUAGUGCAUCUACUUAUGUAUUAGUGCAUUUAUUAAAGUUUUUUCUUUCAUGGAAAGUCUUUUUAUGUAGCGAUAUGAGUUUUACAAAGGUAAUACUUUGUUAAUCAUCUAUUUCGGUCAUAUUCUUAUUUACUAAUUCUCAAGUCAUGUGAAGAUGCUAAACAAUCUUGAUCUUAUCUUAGCAAACUUCCUUUCUUCUUGUAGUACUGAUUUAUUGUGUAGCACUAUCGUUUUGUAUUAUGUCUCUUCUUAGGAAUGAAUUGUUUUCUUUUAGGAUGAAGAUAUAUUCUUUUAUUUUACGAAUAUUUUAUUUGCAAUGCGUGAUUACUUGAUAGAUUCUUGCACUCAAUGUUUUGUCAGUUUUACUUGGACACUUCUUAUGCUUAUUGCUUUGUAAUUGUAUAUUUGUAGGCAUACUGUAUGUAGGCUUCUUCUAUGUUUCUAUGUUAUUUCAGCUUAUCUCUUUUGUUGUUUAACAACUUAUGUAACUUUAGAUGUAACCUUGAUUUUUACUUUGAUUUGGCUUGACAAUAUAGAUGCUUCUAACCUUAGACGUUUUUCUUUUGGACAUCUUUUUUCCGCUAAAUGGAUAACUAGAUGGUUUGCAAAGUCCACUUUCUAGUGUUUAGAUGAUUUUUCUUUUACAAUUAUCAGAUAAUGUCAUCGAUAAAUAUAUCAUCCAUAAAUAUCAUCCAUAAAUAUAAUGAAUAAUUGUACUUAAUUUAUCUAUCAUUCUAAAAAUAACUUUUUUUUCUAAUCGACUUAAUGAGUCCACUACUAAAUUUAUUAUUAUAUAUUAUUUAAUAAUAUUAUCUUGAAAAUAUUUUAUCAAGAUAAUUUUAUGAAAUAUUAAUUAAAAAACAAUAAACAUUUAUAACAUUUAUAAGAAAGUGUGAUAUUUGAGAAAAACAUAAUAUAAUAUUUAAAAUAAAAGACAACUUAUUAGAAGAAAUGAGAAGAACAGGGAUGGAACUAAAGGUUAAUAAAUAAAAUUGAUGUUUUUCUAUUUUUACAAUUAAUUAUUUUUAGAAUAAAAGUUGUGUAUGGAAUUAAAAAUUCUAUACAAUAAUUUGUUAAGAGAUAAAAUAUGGUCGUAGAGGAUUAAUAAUUUAUUUAUUAAUUUUUCUAUUACUUUUGAUAGUUAACCAUGGAUGAUUGUUAUAGUUUUUUAGAACAUUAGUUACUUUCCUUAGUUAGUUUUAAUUUUUUUUUUCUACAAAUAGUUGAGUAAAUUAUUUUUCUAUACCAUAUGUUACGGAUGUUUCUUUAAUUAGUUUUAUACUUUCUAGCAAAUAAUUAAACACAAUUAUUAUCUUACGCAUGAAUGUGAAACAUGAUAUAAAUGUGUAAAAUUAACUUAUGAAAUCUUAUGAAAUAUAUGUUAAUGAAGUUGAAUCUCAUUUUCAAUUAAAAGGAAAACAAACUGAAAGAAAGACAACACCAAUUUCAUUCAUGUAUUUAUGAGGUGUCAAAGUUUCAUUUUAACAUUUUGUCUUUUCACAUAAUAUUAAUUGAAAAAAAAAAGUAAUGAAAAGGUGGAGAAAAAAAUGUAUGAUUUUAGUAUGUCUUCCGUUGUAGCCAAAAAACUGCUCACUGAAAGGAAUUAAAAAAUAGAUUUGAAUAGGAGUCUGUCAGACAACCCUGCAACCAUCCCCAGCUUGUAAAGUCAGGGAACGAUCCUCUACAGCUGGUGAUGGGUCUCGUCCAGAAACGAAGCCCACACUGCCGUUAAUCACGCUCUGAUCACAGGGUAAUAAUUCAUCCACCAGACUUCAGUUCCUGUCUCCUUAGAACUUAAGGAUACAGAGGUACGAACCUAUAGAACAGAUCCUGUUCAAGUAAGGUCGUGACCAUGAAUGUCAGCUGGUCAUUUAUAAACGUACUUUCUUUUCAUAGCUCUUUCGAUGUGGGACUAUAUUAGCUUUUUUUAUCGCGUUUUUUAAACACGACAAUAAGAUAAGAGGAUUUCACUGCUAACUUAGCUGCCCUCCUAGCCUCAUCAUUUUACACUGCACCCUAUUUUUCAUUUCACAAUUUUUCUAUUAACUUCUGCUAUCCUUAUUUCUUUUUUCUCUUCGCAUCUAUGGUGUUUUUAAUGUCAUUUUGAUUUUAUGUACUUUAUUACCAUUUAUCAUUUUAUAUCAUCGCAGUCAUAUUAUUAACCAGUACUAUUAUACAUUAAUGAUUUUUUUAGAAUAAUUCCAAUCUUCAUUUUAUGUUUAAAAUUAACUGUAAACCAUAUUUUACAUAUAACUCCUCCACUAAUAAUACAUCAAAUGAAUUUUGAAAAGUAUCACUAGUAUUCUUACUCUUUUUUUCAACGUUUUUCAAAAACAAAUAAAAAGACUAUUUCUUUCACUCAUUCCAUAUAAUUAUUAAUUUAAUUUCAUUUUUAUUUAUCAAUUAAUUGCGAGCUUUUUCUGAUUCUAUUUUUUUUUUUUACUUUUAGAUUAUGAAUUACUUUCAUAAUUGAUUUGGUUGACUCCGCGUUGAUGAUAAAUUUUAUAUACAUUUUUCUUCUAUGUAUUUUUAUCUUUGAUAAAAAGAAAAAAGUUUGAUCUUUCACUUAAGAUAUGUCUCCUUUCUUUUCCAAAAUUUUACUCUCUAUUUGAUCAAACUUGGCCAGAGGAGGCUUGUAGACCUAAGGAGUGAGGCGACCAAUGAGGACGUGGUAUUUACGUGUAUAUUCAAUUCAUGGGAGAUUAAUCUCAUAAAUAUUUUUCACUAUAUUCAACAUAAUAUUAGAGUCUAAAUUCUUUUGAGAAAAAUAUUUUUGUUACCCUUGUCACUACAAUUGUUGCUACUAGUGGCAACACUGUCUAUCGUCAUUGUCGUUGUCACUAUCAGAGUUCUAGUUUCAACCAAUGACCAUAUGGUUUUGAUCAUCUCGGUCAGGUGACCACCGUAUAAUCAUCAGUCGUCCUAAGAAUUUUUUACUCAAUAGUGUCUUUUUCAUUGGUUUUCAUUGUCCAUUGUCGUUACUUGUUAUCGCUCCUCGUAUAGGGUUGUCUGUUUCUACGUGUUUUGAUGAAUAAAAGAGACCAUUAUUUUGAAUAGUCAAAUUUUUCACCUUCAUUGGCGCGCCAUCAUUUAUGUAGUUCGUUGGGAGGGGAAGUUUGUUUCUAUGUGGUCCAAUCUAGCCAUCCUCUCCCUACAAUCAUGGUUCAAACCAAAAACAAGGCAAAAUUAUCAAGACUCACCAAACACAACCAAUGCAUGUUCCCGUAUACUUUAUAACCGCAAUUAUAAUUUAUGAGCUCUUCCAAUUCUAUUUUUUUCUUUACUUUCACAUUAUGGAUUACUUUCAUAAUCUAUUUGUUGACUUGCGUUGAUGAUAAAUUUUAUGUAUAUUUUUCUUGGAUGUACCUUUAAUAAAAAGACUAAAGUUUGAUCUCUCACUUAAGAUAUGUCUCCUUUCUUUUCCAAAAUUUUACUCCUUGUUUGAUCAAAAUUUUAGUGAUGUGAGUAUUCCUUCUUUUUUUUUUAACAAAUUCCUUUUUAAAUUUACAUAAAAUAUUUUAAUUGGUUGUUGUUUUCUUAUAUAGAAAUUUAACAGUGUCAUAAAGUUAGAAUUUGUAAAAUAUUAUAAAUGAAUAAUAGAUUUUAUAAAAGACAUUCAAAUAAUAUUUAAUAAAAUUCUAUAACAAAAAUUGAUUUAAAAAGAAGUUUUUUAACGUGUCAUAAAGAACAAAUUCUGUGAGAGACAUAAUUUCUUUUGAGACUGAGUAGAUCUGAAAUGAUAAAAGCCAAAAUCUAGAAAUUCGUAUUACAUGUACAUAAUUUUUUAAUCAUAGAUCUCAACAAUAAAACAGCUAAUGAGUCGUGUAGAUAGUGAAAGCCACUACUUGCAAAAUUCCUAUUUCUAUUUGCAUAAUUCCAAAAUAUACAUUUUAUAUAGCUUAUUUAUAUGUAGAAUGAUGCAGAAAUGAAUUUAUUUUUUAAGCUUUUACUCUCAGCAAGAAAUUAAAGCAAAGAAAACUAUAUCUGAACUGGAAUCCUAAGACAGAAAGAUACAAAAUGAAAAGAGAAAGGGUUGGGUAAAAAGCUUUUUCCUGAAGCCUUUGUUACUCUCAAAACAUCAAUGUAGAAGUGUUCAAGGGCACCAAUCCAAUGCUAAAUUUUUAUUGAUGUUAUCUUUAAGUUAAUUAUUAUAAAAACCUUUUCAUUUGAUAUUUCUUUUUCAUUAUAAAAUAUCUAAUAAUUUUAUAAUAAUUAAGAUUUUUUUAAUCCGAUCUAAAUCAUACCACAAAUAUUUAUUUUAUUUAUCUUUUUUAAAUUAAAUUAAACUAAUGGAAAUAAUAUUUUAUGUUUAUCAGAAAAUUAUAUUUUUUUUGUCUAUCAAAGAAUUUAUUAUAUUAAAUAUAUUUUUCUCCUCAAAUAUAAAACUCACCAUAUUUCAUAUAAAUUAGUCAAAUAUUCCACGUUCAACACAAUCAUUUAACUUAUAAUUUAUAAUAUAUUCAUCUAUUAUAUUUCAUAUUUUCUUAUAAAUAUAGUUUCAUAAACAGCAUCUUUUUACAAAUAUAUAUAUAUAUAUAUAUAUAUUAUAAAUAUAUAUAUUUAUAAUUGAUUGAUGAAUGUAAGAUUAACCCAACACAUUUAUUUUAUACAAAUUUCAAUGAUAUUAAGUUAAAUCAACUUUUGAUUCACAGAGUAUUUCAAUAUGUAGUUUUUGUCCAUGUACAAAUUUAACAGCAUGUUAAUUGGGUAUUCUAAGUUUAUAAAAUUAAACACUUUUAGUUCAAAGAGGACAUAUUUUUUUCCUAAUAAAAAUAUUAAUUUUGUUGUCAUAAAAAAUAUUAAAAUUUUUAAUUAAACAUUAUUAUUAUUAUUAUUAUUGCUACUUUAUGUAAAUAAUGUUUGAAAUAGAAAAACAUAUUAAUUUUAGAGAAUUGAUAAAAUUACAUAUUUUUAGUGUAGCUUGAGCUGACUAAGGAAAACAUGAGCAACCUUAAAUUGAGCACCCAAGUGCAAGAGCAUGAGAGACAAAUGUGGCAUAUAGCAGAGAGAAAAGGUUUUGAGAGAAAGUACACGUAAGUCAGAAACUGAAUAGACAUGCAUGUCAUUGUACAAACAAACUCUUCUCUUACCCUACACACAAUUUCCUUCUAAGGAAACAAAUAAACAUUUAUUAUCAUUACUGGAAUUAAUUAAAAUCUAUGGGCAAUUCAACCAGUUAAUUUUAUUUUUCCAAUUAUAUUAAUCUACCAUUCUCAUAUUUUGAAUUCUUUUCCUUUUUCACCAAGAAACCACAACAGCACACUUAGCAUGGUUACUGCAACGUGUGUGUGAUGCAGGAGUGGGGCAAAUUCCGUUGAGAUCCGUGUGAGCACGCAUUCGUUUUUCGCCGUCGUUCUUUUCCAAACAAGAAUAUUCUUCUUUUGUGAUGUUCUGGGAAUUCAACUGAAUUUCAAUAAAACCCCUCUGUUUGUGUGAUUUUCUCUUUCUUCUCUGGGCCCGUGCCUACUGUUUUAUGUGACUGGGGACACUAAAAAGCAGAAAAUUUGCAUUUUGGCUUGGAAUUCUCUGAGAGAUGGGUAGUAGCUGCCCUUGUUUCGGGUCGAGGAAGAAGGGUAAAGAGAAGAGUGUCAAGAGGCGGGAUGAGGAAAACAAGAAUCUCAAAUCUGUAAAGAACACCAAUGAUGUCUCUGAAAGUUCUCCAGGUUACUUUUUUCCUAAAGAUUCAAUCUUUCAAAACGAAUUCUUACAUUUUUUGCCAAUUUUUUUUUAAUGGGUUUGGGUUUUAAGUCACCACAGAGGACAGAUUGGUUUUUAGGUGAUGUUUCUAGUGAUUAUUGCUUAUAGUUCUCAUCUCAUUUGAUUAUUAUCUUAGGGUGAAAGAAAAAAGGUCUUGGAUGAAUGUUGUCUUCUUGGAGUAUUUCUUAUUUGAAAAUUGAAGUUCUGAUUAUGUACACUGCAUAAAGCUUAGUACCUUAUUCCCAAAAUCAAUUAAAAACUAAAGGGGGUGUUCAAAUUUCAUUCCCCCGCCUAAAUGCCUUUUUCUGUCUUGCUACUGCGUUGUUUUUCACUCUAGUCUUGGGAAAGCAAAAGCAUGCAUGUUAAAUUCUGGAAGAUAUUUUUUAUGGCGAAAUUUUGUGAAGUGAUUGUCACUAGUCUGAGAGUAUAUGCUUCAUGUGAUAUGCUUUCUUUUAGGCCUCUCGUAAACUUGAUGAAGUGAUUUGCUUCGUGUGGACUGAUUAUAGAUAGUUUUUCGUGGUAAUUGAACAUAUAGAUAGAUGUCCUGAGUUUUUCUUGGCUUAGUUUGAUUUUGUUUAGCAAUUCUUUGACAUGACAAUUUUACAAAGAUUAUCACUUGUUUAUAAGCUACUGAAGGAAAGCUCUGCAAUUAAUUUUGAGUGGUUAUUUUUUAAGACAAUUUUAUAUCUUCAAUGCAUCUCUUUAGAAAAAAGUAUAUAGAGACUUUCACUUUUAAAAGUUAAUAUUAAACCACCUAGAUAUGUAGGCACAUAUAUAAUUAGUCCAGAUUACUCAAUAGGAACUUGUGUCUUUGGAGUGCCUAAGUUUCACAUUGAGCAUUAUGCUUGUGUAAAAAAAGUUGUUAUAGUAUUAAAAGCGAGAUCUCUUUCUAUUGUCUUUUGCUUUACUUGUAUACUCUAGUGAUCAUAACUUGGUUUUAUACAGGGAAUGGACCAGAGGAAAACCCAGUAGAGGAGGGCGAAAGUUCUCAUAAGGCCCGGAUAUUUACCUUCCGAGAGCUUGCAACAGCAACAAAAAGUUUUAGAGAUGAAACCUUUAUUGGACAAGGUGGAUUUGGCAUUGUUUACAAGGGAAUAAUUCGGGAAAAUCAGGUAUAACAUGAUGGAUCGAUUUUCUGUGUGCCUGUUUCUUCAUUUACAAUACCCAUCAGUAUGCUACAUUGCUGUGCAAUAUAGUUCUUUAAACAAGCUACUGGACUUGAUCAGGUUGUAGCUGUUAAAAGACUUGAUACUACAGGUGUUCAAGGGGAGAAAGAAUUUCUGGUGGAAGUUCUCAUGCUUUCCCUUCUACGCCAUCCCAACCUUGUUAGCAUGAUUGGGUACUGUGCGGAAGGAGAUCAACGUCUUCUUGUGUAUGAGUACAUGGCUUUGGGAUCCCUAGAAUCUCAUCUUCAUGGUAUAAUACUAUAAAGCAACCUUUUUCUUCAAUGCCAAAUUGUAAUCAGUUACUAGUUACUCCAUGUAUCUUUUUCCUGCCAUCUUUUCUGCCCAUGAAUUGGAGGAAAUUAUGUAAAGCCUUAGAGUUUAUUACUAUCUGAGGGGAUUGUACAUGAUUUACUGAGCUGAAGAGGGUUGCUACUAAUUAGUUCAAUAAGGCCAUGUUUAGUAUCACAUGUUAAUGCUUUAUAGCUUAACGUAACUACUGCUGUAUCUUGUCUGUUCUUGACGUGCGACUUUAUUCACCAAAAGUACAUUUAGAUCUUUGUAUCUUUAAUAUUUGUUUAUGGUUAUCUGCAGAUGUUUCUCCUGAUGAAGAGCCACUUGAUUGGAAUACCAGAAUGAUUAUAGCUUGUGGAUCAGCAAAAGGGCUACAUUAUCUCCACGACGAAGCAAAGCCUUCAGUUAUAUACAGGGAUCUUAAAGCAUCCAAUAUACUAUUGGAUGAAGAUUUCCAUCCAAAACUUUCUGAUUUCGGGCUCGCAAAAUUUGGUCCAACCGGAGAUCAAUCAUAUGUUGCCACAAGGGUCAUGGGAACACAAGGUUACUGUGCCCCUGAAUAUGCCACUAGUGGAAAAUUAACGAAGAGAUCUGACAUAUACAGUUUUGGGGUUGUGUUACUGGAACUAAUUACUGGACGCAAAGCAUAUGAUGAUAAGCGUGGCCCUGAAAAGCUUCUGGUAGACUGGGUAAAUUCCUAUAUUGAUUAUAUUUUGUUCCAUUUCUGGCCAAUGAUGAAUGACACAAAACGUUACUUUCUCCUUUUUCUCUAAGUUGAAUAAUAUUCAUCAGAUUAAUUAGCUUUUUGGAUUUGCUCUGUUUGCAUUUCCUUGGAAUGCUAUCUUCACUCUUUAAGGAAUCACAAUUUGAGAAAACAUAAUGGUUUGGUUGACUAUGAGAGAACAUAAGACUUAAACAGUGAAGGUUGUUUUUUCCUAACAUAUGUAGGCACGUCCAAUGCUGAGAGACAAAAGGAGUUUCCCAAGAUUGGUAGAUCCAGGGCUUAAAGGGAAGUACCCAGGAUCAUGUCUAGCGAUGGUGAUUGAAUUGACAGCCAUGUGUCUUCGUGAAGAGCCACGUCAACGGCCUAAUGCAGGUGAUAUAGUGGCAGCUCUGGAAUUCUUGUCAUCCAAGCAAUAUUCCCCAAAAGUGUUGAACACAGUCAACAACAGAACUGAGAUGGAGAGUGGAGAGACCCCAAAUGAAACAAGAGCCAUUUUGCCAAAAGAAUCAGUGAGAGAGCGAGCUGUUGCAGAAGCCAAGCUUUGGGGGGAGACAUGGAGGCAGAGACGACAAAGUGAGCAAAACAGUCCUAAGGAACCCCACAUAGGGUUGUGAUUCAACAUGAUGCCAUAGUUGGCCAUCUUUUUUUCUUAAAUAGUGCUGUUUUGGCACUUGUGAACUUGAGGCUCAAUUUCACAUGCUUUGACAUGAGGUUUCAGAUUACAUGGUUGCUCUUGCUUUUCUACUCUGAGAAAUAUGAUACAUUAGUAGUAUUUCUAUGUUUUAACAAAAAUAAAUAGCAAAAAUAGAUUGGAUUGCUGAAUUUUCCUUGUGUGUAUCAUGUACUAGACAUUUAAGCUAGAGUAGAAAUUACUGCUGUCAACUGUUUGGUAGUCUUUAUAGAAACCUUUAUACAUAUGGACAUAUGGCUCAUUCAAUCUUAUCACAUGAAAAAGUUCAAGUAUAUAUAGCAGGUAUAUAUUACUUAAUAUUUUGGUUCUGUUUGGUUGAAAAUUAGUAACUUCGUAAAUACACAAAAUGCUAUAUAUAUUCUAAUCACAAAUAAUAUUAGUAAUGUUGUCAUCCGUUUAAAAAUUUUCAGUACUCAUAAAUAUUUUUAAUUAUUUUAAAAUUAGUACGAAUAAUUUUUUCCUUUUAGUUUAUUAUUAUAAUAUUUAUCUUAAUUUUUAUUGUCAUAGGAUCCCAAAGAACGUGUCGAGUUUGUGGUAUGCGUUCGAGAGAAAAAUAAAUAUUUUUGACACCAAUUAAAUUAUCUAAUUCAAACAUAAAUUAAAUUGUUGAACAAAUAAUUAAAUUAAUAAAAAUAGUUGUAAGGAAGGGGUUGAAAUUUGGGUGUCAACCUAUUAAUUCCUAUAUAUGGAUUAGUACUAUUUCUACCUUUAUUAUUUGAUUAAAAAAUUAUUUAAAUGUGUAACUAUUUAUAAAUAUAUCUUUUCUCAAAUGAGUGACAAUUUCAUACCAUUAAGUACAAUUUAAACUCGUUCAUAUAUUUUGAUUAUUUUGCCAUUUAUCUCUUAUAAAUAAGUUUUUCUUUAUAUAUAUAUAUAUAUAUAUAUAUAUAUAUAUAUAUAUAUAUAUAUAUAUAUCACAUUAUCAUAUGUUUUUUUUAAUGUCUCAAUAGGUCCUUAUUUUCGUUCAAAAUUUCAAAUAGGUCCCUUUCUUUUUCGGUGUCUCAAUUAAGUCCUUAUUUUCUUAAAAUUGAAUCAAAUAGGACAUUUCCGUCAAAUUGAGAUGACGCAGUUAAGAAGAGUAUCUUGACCGUGUAGUUUUUCAUUACAUAAAUGUAACUGAAUUGUAUUUUUUUAAUGUUUAAAUUAAAAAAAUGAAGUAUACUCUGUAUAUUUUGUUUUUUAAUUCGAAAAUUAAAAAAAUACAAUUCAAUCACAUUUUUAAUGCCACGUAAUAAAAAACUACACUGUAUAUCCUUCUUAACGGCGUCAUCUCAAUUUGACAGAAAGACCCUAUUUGAUUUAAUUUUACAAAAAUAAGGACUCAGUUGAGACGUCGAGAAAGAAAAUGACCUAUUUAAAAUUCUGGACGAAAAUAGAGACUUAUUGAAAUAUUAAACCUAUUUUUUUUUAAUCCGAUUACCAUAUAAAGUGCUAAUGCUAAUCAUAUUACAUACUUUUUAUAUAUUAAUAUUUUUCUAAAAAUGAAAAUUAUUUUCAGAUUAGAAUCAAUCGAAGAAGAACAAAGGAAAUAAAUUAUAUUGAGAUUAUCUAACAACCAAUAAAUGAAAUAUACAAUCAUAAUAUAAGUUAAAAAAUAAAAAUAAAAUACUAAAAAUACACGUCAUUAAUGCUCAAGUUCAUUCAUGUCAAAUAAAUGUGGUACACUCUUUCCUUUUUCAUCAACACGUUAAGCAUUUUGAAGUUACGUUAAUGGUUAUAAACAUAUGAAUUAUUUAGAAAGUUACCAAACCUUGAUUUGUGUAGUUUUGGAUUUGUUGGAUAGUGUACUUGUGGCUUUACAAGUUUAAUUGCCGAAUUAGAAUUUUCUUCUUGAAAAUUAUAUAAUUUUCGUUCAUAAUCUUUCCGGAAAGAGUAUUUUUCUUUUUUAACUCACCACCAUAACUAAGGCAUAGAAGUUUGAUUGCUUUAAUUAAUUAAUUAUAGGAAAUGCCUUUUGUUUUUUUAAAUGUGAAAUGGAUUAAAUUGUUUUCUUCAUGUUUUGUUGUUAUUAAACAAAGCAGGCAAAAGUUGAUACGUUUGUUGUACCAAAAAAUGAGAAAUUUAUGGUACAAGUCAAUAUAAUAGUUAAUCACAACUCAGACAACCAUUAACAUUGAUAUUUUUCUGAGUCACAUUGAAAAGCGUGUGAAGUUUACUUGGUCUUGUGAGCUAAGAAAAGAAAACACGAGAUCCUAUUGGAGGUUAUGAUAACUGCCAAUAAAGCAAAGGACCCACGUUCUAAUUUUCUUAUUAGGUGAACAUUUGUAUGCAUGAUAUGCUCUUAUUUUAAUGGCAAAAAAUUAAGAGCCAUUGUUUUCUGAGCUUAGAAUUUAAAUACAAGGAUGGUGUUAGUGAGAAGAGAUUCAUGAUUGGUGGCAUGUCCGUAGACAGUGAACGUUGGGGUCUCAUCAUGUCUGUUCAAUCGUUUGCAAUGAACAACAAUGGAAUUGUUUGUGAUCUUCAGUCUCCAAUAACCCACUGGUCACUACAAGAAUGGAACUAACUAUUUUUAUAUUUUUUUCAAAAUAUUCUUACAAAUUUUUGACUUUUUUUUUCAACCAAGUUACUUUUAGGUUUAAUAUCUAUUUUAAUCCAUCUAAUUUGUAGGAUUUGUUUAAAGUUGUUCUUUCUUUUUUUAAAAGUUCACUAACAUCUUACUUUUCACAAAAACGGUGCACGUUAGUUUUUUUUAUUUACGAUGUUAAAAAGACUAACAGCAGAGUUGCCUACCUGAUGAAACCUGAAUGAGUUGUACAAUUUAUUAUUACUUGGCAUUCUCGGUUUUCCCCAUUUUCAUGGUUGAACCUUCGCUUUCCCUCGCUCUCAAUUCCCUCUUCCUCUGAGCCUCUUCCCGCUUCUCUCUCCUCCCUUUGCCGCCACACACCGUCUCCCUCCUUUUUGUCAAGCCCCAACACCACCCUUCCCUCCUUUACGCCAAAUGCAAAUCCUCCGAUGACAUCGACACCUCUUUCUUCGACAAUAUCAACAAAUUGGAAGACAUUGACUUCAACUCCCCGGAUUAGGGAUUAGGGUUUGGGAAAAGGGGAUUAGGGAUUAAGGUUUGGGAAAAGGGAGAAAAGGAGAUUAAGGUUUGGGAAGCAGCGCGCAAUUAUGGAUUUCACAAUGGAGAAGAAGGAAUCAAAGAACAACAACUCCAAUAACCCCGAAAAUGCUCAUCAAACGUUAGAUUCUUCUUCUCAGUUAGCGUCGACACUCUAGCAACAAAGAAACCAAAGAACAACAAUCUCAUGAACUCAAAGCCAGUCUUCACCCUCUGAAGAUUUCUCUCCCUCACUUUAAUUUUUUUUGUUUCUUGGCAAUUGAAUUACAGUGUAAUUGGUUAAUGAUGACGAUGAUUACAGUGAUUGAAGAAGAUGAAGAAGUGUGAUAAAGCUUUUGAGUGGAAAGGGGACUGUCACGUGGCAAUCUCUUAUUGGCUGAACUUGCCAACUAAUUAGACUAAUUGGAUAUGUCAUUUAAUUUUGGCCAGUUGAGCAAUUCUGCUGUUAGUUUUUUAACGUCGUAAGCAAAAAGGAUCAACUUAAACUAUUUUUGCAAAAAGUAGGAUGUUAAUGAACUUUUGAAUAGACCCUACAAAUCAAGGGACCAAAAUAGGCAUUAAACCUUACUUUUAUUUUGACUUCUUUUUUUUCUUUUUUUCCUACCUUUUCAUUUUCUUUGUCUUCUUUCCUCGUGGAGAUAAUACCACAACUUUCAUUAGAAUAUAUCGAUCCAUAAUACUUAAACGUCUAUGGAAGAAUUGAGAAAAGCUUAUAACUUGAUAGAGAUGAAAAGGUUAUGAAAGUGUAUUAUAUGACCGUGAUCAGUCAUGGACCGACAUUUGUAUGUCAAGCAACAAAACAUUUGGUCAGAAUAUUAAUAAGAUUAGUUGUCAAAAGUAAUUAGGUUAACCCUAAACCAGUUAUGGGUACAUGGACCGUAAUUGGGUCAACCCUAAUAAGAAACUAAUCACAAAAGUUUAUAAAUACAGGUUUGACAUUCAGGUAGUUUGUUACUUUUAUGACACAUUUAUGACAAAACUAUUCAAACAAACACUAACUUAAACACUUUUCCAUGUGGCACCCAAAGGAGCUGAAUCUAAGAACUAAACUGUGUACAAGAAGAAUUAAUCUCGACUUCAUAACGAAACAUAAAUACAAAAACAUUUUAAAAUAUUAUAUAUAUAAAAAAUGUUAACCUCAAUGUUAUCCUAAGUUUCAACAAUAGAAAAAGAAAACUAAAAAAUACUUAUUCUUCAUACAUAAAAGAUAUAGAAAAUACAUAAGAAAAUUUUAUUAAUCUUUAUGUUGUUGUAAUUAUAUAAUAGAAACUCUAGUAUAUUUCUAUCAAAUGCAUAAAAGUAAAACUAUAAUAAAAUAUUUGUAUUCUGUUUAAAAAUCCGUAAUAAAAUUAUGCAAUAAAAAAUACUUUCACAUUAUAUAGUUGACUUUUUUUACAUAAUAAAAAUGAAAAAGGUUGGUUAGUAAAUAUAAAAUGCAAAGAAUAUAGUAGGCAAAAAACAAGUGGGCACUAAUAAACCGUUACGUUAUGAUUUUAUGUAGUGUAAAGUAUUCAUUAUUUUCAGUACGCUCCAUAUGUAAUAAUUAGAAAAUUUAAUUUUAAGUAUUUAAAUAUAAAGACCAUGUUAUUUUAAUAUUAAAAUAACUAAAAAGUAUAAAUAUAAAUUUUAUUAAGAGUCUUUUUAUUUCAUAAGAAAAUCAAAAAGUGUUUAGGUGAUUACGAACUAUCUUUCUUCAUUCUUUUUUUUUUUCGAGUUUUAAUACCUAAGUUAUCCUUUUGAAGAUCAGAAAGUGUCUAAGUGAUCAUGACAACAAGAUCUUUAUUUUUAUCCAAUCAGUUUUUUCAAAAGAUUAAGUUAGUUUCUACUCUUUUUCUCGAGCCGUAUUUUUUUCCUUGCAUGCGAACAAUCUUCUGUUGCAUGUGUCUUCCAACAUUCUAGUAUGUUCCCUAUUGAUCAAUGGUUCUAAUCAUGUAUCCUAAUCAUGAUUUCAUGGUGUGUAGAUGCACAUAGAGCUCUUUAAGAUGAGGAAGCAGUUUCAAGUCCUUUCAAGCAUGUUUUAGCUUCUAUCAGGUAAAGGAAGUUAAAUGUUUUGUUUCUAAAGUCUUGUAACUUUGAUAAUUUGUUUUAAUGAGCUCUAAUUGAAGUAAAAUUGAUUUUGUAUGGUGUUAAGUAGGUAGCUUGCUAAAAUAUUAUUAUAUGGUAGUAUGAGUGCUUGAAAUUAAAUUAUAGUGUGUUAUCUGAGUUGGAAGAGUAUUGUUGUGAAUAUUGGUUAAUUCUUACUUGUUUUGAUCACUGAGAUGAUAUACUAAGGUUAUAAUUGGUUGGAAUAUGCUACUACAUCUUGAUGUAGUCAAUAGGUAGAGUUUUGGGCUAGUUUAUGGUCUAUUUUUGGGGUUUUGACAAGUGAAGAUAUAAAAGAGUUGGUUUGGGAAGAAAUUGAAUGUUUGUGGUCUGUUUUUGAGUCAUUUGUGACUUGUUUAACCACUUAGAUCAAUUAAAUAUGGUUUGUAACAUGUAGAAUUUGAGUUGUGAGCUUUUCAGUUGUUAGUUUGAUUUGGUUGAUGUCAUUCCUUAUCAAUUAAUAAAAUUGGUACUCAAUUUCAGUUAUAAACAUGUUUUUUGAAUCAAUUAUAGUGUCAAGGAUAUCAAUUUGGUCAUUUGGAUAGGUCUAGGGUACAACCAAAUUAGAAAAUCAAAUUGUUGUCAUCUGGUAUAGUGUUGAGCGACCUUGUUUGGAGUUGAGUGCUUCCAAAACUAAGAGCCUUGGGUUCUAGGACGUCGAGCGCCACUUUGGACGUUGCGCGCCACGAAGUUACGUAAACUUUUCAAUCCUCGACAAAGCUGUCAAAUUAUCUCCUUCGAAAAGUUUUCCUAUAACACUAUUCAACCCCCUCCUUCUAGUGUUUUUUUAGGUAUUUUAGACUUUAAAUGAGUCGGUGGAGUUAAAGAAGUAGAUUAAAGAGUUAUUUGAGAAACAAUUUAUCAAACCAAACAUAUCACCGUGGGAAGCAUCAAUGUUGCUAGUAAAGAAGAAAAAUGGAAGCUUUAGGCCGUGUGUGGACUAUAGGAAAUUGAACAAGUUAAUCAUCACGAAUAAGUAUCCUUUACUAAUAAUAGAUGACUUGAUGGAUCAGUUGCAUGGAGUGGUGGUGUUUUCCAAGUUAGAUCUGUGGUAGGGUAUCACUAAAUUCUAGUAAAAGCAGGUGAUGUGCAUAAAAUUGCCUCUAGGCCCAGAUAUAAGCACUAUGAGUUUGUGGUUAUGCCUUUUGGUGUGACUAUCGCUCCUGCCUUGUUUAUGGAUUAUAUGAAAAAGAUCUUUCAGAAUUUUCUAGAUAAGUUUGUGGUAGUCUUUAUAGAAGACAUUCUUAUCUACUCCAGUACUUGUGAGGAGCAUGAGGAACACUUAAGGAUAAUGCUUGGAAUCUAAAGAGAAGUUGUAUGCCAAGCUAUCAAAGUGUGAGUUCUAGAUGGAAAAGAUCCAGUUUCUAUAGCACGUGAAUCAACACAGGGUAUAUCAAUUGAUGUGCUCUAAUUGAAGUAAAAUUGAUUUGGUAUGGUGUUUAGUAGAUAACGUACUGAAAUACUAUUAUAUUGUAGUAUAAGUGCUUGAAAUUAAAUUAUAUGUGUGUUAUCUGAGUUGGAAGAAUAUUAUUGUGAAUGUUGGUUAAUUGUUACUUGUUUUGAUAACUUGAGAUGAUUAAUGUUAUAAUUGGUUGGAAUCUGCUAUUGCAUCUUGAUGUAAUCAAUAACUAGAGUUUUAGGCUAGUUUCUAGUCUAUUUUUGGAGUUUUGACAGAUGAAAAUAUAAAAGAGUUGGUUUGGGAAGAAACCAAAUGUUUAAGGUUUGUUUUUAAGUCAUGUUUGACUUGUUUAGCCACUUAGAUCACUAAAAUCUGGUUUGUAACAUGUAGAAUUUUAGUUAUGAGCUUUUGAGUUAUUAGCUUGAUCUGGUGGAUGUCAUUCUUGAUCAAUUAAUCAAAUUGGUACUCAAUUUCAGUUAUAAACAUGUUUUUGAAUCGAGUAUAAUGUCAAAGAAACCAAUUUGGUCAUUUGGAUAGGUUUAGGGUGCAACCAAAUCAGAAAACCAAAUUGUUGUCAUCUGGUCCACUUGCUGGGCGAAAAGUGUGGUUCACUAGGCACCCUAUUUUAAAUCUAGGCGCCUUGUUUUUGGCCUUUUAUGUUGUUUUUCUAUUUUUUAAUUUCUUGUUUGUUUUUAAGCUAUUUAUUAUGAUGCUAUGUACAGUUCUUAAUACUUAUGAAUGCCUAGUGAAUGAUAAUGGUGGAUAUGUAUUUAGUUUAAGUAUGUGGUGAAAGGAAUUCCAUGUGGAAAAUCCUGGUGUUAUGCUUUAAUGUAAUAUAUUACUGUAUGUGCUUUAAAAUGGGAGAUGAUCUUAACAUUCCAAUAGCCAUCCAACCUCAAGUAGGGAGGGUUGCUUAUGUCAUGAGGAGUAGCGGGAGGUCCUUAGCCCAGGGUCAAAUUGACCAGGGUUGUUUGACGGAGUAACCUUGUGUGGUAGCUUGGGUGACAAGUUGUUCCACCAUACUUAUAAAGGUUCCCUCAAGAGUUUGGCACCUAUACAUAUAUCCGAAUAUUCAAGUCUAGAGUCUAGUUAUAUAUUUAGGUUUUGAUGGAUUUUGAGAAUAAAAUUGUUAUAUUUCUGACUUAAGUAAAUUGCAUGUUUGAGUCUUUUAUAAAUUAGCUUACCAUAUUGGUUGUGUUUGUUUGUUUGUUUGCUUGACUCUUUUUCUUUGACAAUGAUUAUCUUAUUAGUAUGAGCAUAGAAAGAUAUUUCUAUGGAAUAGGUGUUGAAUGACAAAAGUGUUGAUAUAUAGAUAACUAUAAUAACUUUAUUUACUUUUGUUGUUUUGAAGAAUUUUUAGUUCAUUUAUAAAUAUUCUUAGUAUGAAUAUAUUUUGAAUAAUUGUGAUAAUAUUUUAUAUGUUUUUUUUAAUAAAUUAUUUUUGUUUAUUGAAAAUAUAAUAAUUUUCUAAUAGUAUUAAAACUAUAAAUUUUGAAAUGAUAUAUUAAUCCUCUAUCACUUUUCGUAUUGAAUAUUUCACUUUUCAUUUCUUAUUUAUAAAAGGUCAGUCCAUUAAAAACUUUAAAAUAAUAAAAUAUGAUGUAGCUAAUCACGUUAUAAAAUGAUUCUAAAAUCCAAAUUAAUAAUGACACCAUAUUUUUCUGUAUAACUUGUUUGUUCAAAUGCACUUAAAAGUUAGAAAAGAGUUACAUUAUUAUUUUCACUAUACUUAAUAGUUUUAUAUCAUUUAAAAAUUAAGGCUAAAUAUAAUUUAAAUAUUUUUUCUUUCAUUUUCUUAAAUCAAACCAAAUGAGAAAUAAUAAAGAAAGAAUGAUCGGUUAUGAAGAAGUAGGAAAUGUUUCUCCAUUUGCUACACGAGAUGUAAUUUAUGAAACUUGUUAAACAUUACGUGACUGAGGUCAAAAGCUUUAUUUGAAAUAUUUGAAUAUGUAUAAUAUUCCUUUAUCCAUUUAAAUAAUUCAUAUUAUGUUUUUUGUUUUGAAUUAAAUUACGAAAUAUCCUUGAAAUGCACCCAGCCACAUAAAAUGAGAAAUGGGUCACUGUCUUCUAUUUUAUUAUUGUAUUAGAAAAGUAGGGAGGAGAGGACCAAUGUCACACCACACUCCUCCAUCAAUCACAUUGUGAACUAGCCAAAAUCACCCACCUCAUGGGGUCCUAAUAAUAAUUUUUAAUUAUUUAUAGAACAUAACUAUUUUAUUACGAUUAUUUAGACAAUAUUUUUUUACAACAUUUGAAUAUUAUUUAUUUGUCAUUAUGUGAUUGGUUCAUAAUGGUAUUUAUGAUUAUUAUUAUUGAUUGUGAAGUAAUUUUAGACCAAUCACAUAAUAACACGUAAAUAAUAUUUAAAUAUUGUCAAAAAAAUAUUGUCUAAAUAUCAUUGUCCAUUUCAAUAUUACAAUAUUCUAACUAGCUAAAAGUAAAUUCAAAACAAAGUUAAACUCUAAACAUUAGAUUUAUAAUAUAUAGUUUUUUUUUGUAAAACAUGGAGAUGAAAACACUAAAUUUAGAAAUAAAAAUAUUAAUUAUAAACUUGUAAAUGUGACGAUGUUAAAUUCAGAUAUUGAUUGAUCCAAUAAUUAAAUAUAAAGAAAUAAUAAAAAAUAAAUAUUACUCGGAAACUUACACUAUGUUUUCUAAUACAGAGAGACAUAGAGUGACCCAGUAGUUGUCAAAGAGGGAAGAAUCCUGUUGCUAGUGCUAUUCACCAAAACCAGCUCACACACACAUCACACUUCACAACACACAACAAUCAUCACAUUAGAGAGAGAAAUAAAUUGACAAAAAGUAAAAGAAAAACCCUUACUUGCAUUGCAUUGCAUUGCACUGAACCACCUCCUCAUGCCUUGUCGCUAACCCGACCCGACCCGUUGAACUCGCCGGAAACUUUGUCCAAAAGGGUCUCUGGAUUUGCCCAUGGCCCUCCAUUUCCGACCCUAGAGACCCUUCAAGUUUUGGCCUUUUCUUCUUCGCUUUCCCGUUUUGGGUAAUCAAUUUCUGAAAUCACUGCAACUGAGAGAGCUUUUCUGAGAACUCCUGCCUCGACGAUAUGUACGUCGUGCCUCCGCCGCAGCGCUCCGAUCAGGUGUCGGGAUCCGGCGAUUUGCGGGUCUACCAAGCUUGGAAGGGUAGCAAUGUAAGUUUCACUUCCUACUUGUAUUUUUGGUUACUUGCUUCAACAAGACUUGGAUGCAGUACUUUUAAAAUACUUGUGCUGCUGUUUUUCAUUUAACUUGGCAAUCGUCACAAUAAAAUUUUAUUAAAGUUCAAUAUGAAUUAGAUUAGGAAGGUCAAACUCCUAUUCUGACUUCAGAGCAGCAUGAAAAUCACCUAAGCAACUAUAUUGAAGUCGUCAAUUUUCACAGUUUUUUUUUUUCUAAGGAAAAGGAGAUUGUUGGUGGAAUUUGUUAAUUGGGGGUGUCACUACUCUCAGAAAAUUCCCUUUUUGCAAGUGCUUGUAUGCAUCUCAAAUUUUGGUAGCUUAUCUAUUAUUGGUGGUUGUUAUUGUGGUCUUUUCUUUGUGUGGAUUUAAUUGUACUGGUAUUGGUUUUUUGGGCUAGGAGCGUUACUAUUUGGAAGAGGUUCUAGUUGUUAUGUGCUGACUUUGAGAUGAAUUUUGUGUGGAUGGUUUACUAUCAGGUUCUGAAGCAGUGUUAGUGAAAUGACAAGUGAUGGUAACCCAGAAACCACAUCAACUGGUCUCCUUUGUCCGAUUGAUGUGUUAGGUUUAAGCUGAUUGGUUUCCAGUACAAUGUUAGAACUGAGUAUUGAUUGGACUUUUGUGUUGCUUUAUUAAGUGUUACAGUCUUAGUGAAACUGUUCCAAAACUUCAUUUGCUCUGGAAAAAAAAAAGGGAACGGAUCAGAGUUUUUGCAUUUUUUAAAAACUGUAGAGAAUCUUUACUUAUAGAUAGAGACAUAAAUAGAUAAAUACGCCUACACACACACACACACAUAUAUAUAUAUAUAUAUAUAUAUAUAUAUUUAAAAUAAAAUAUUAAAGCAUAACAUGGGGUACAAGAAAUCUUAGGUACAAGCUACUAGGUCGAUUCAUUACUAGCUUCCCUAGUUUUAGUUGCUUCUCGCAGUUUCUUUACCUCCUAAAAUUAUGCUGCGGAGAAUCACAAGCACUUCACUUUUAGGAUGUGUUUGGAAAGAAAGUCACCGGAGAUCUGUUAAAUUUUCAGAACCAAAAUUAAUUUAAAUAAUUUAUGUUUCAUGUUAUUUUAAUAAGUCUGUGUCAUAUUGGAUGAUUAUUAUAUACUUAAGAAGUAAGCAAAGUAGAACGAAUCAAAACAUUAUACUCUAUGAACUACUGUGCUAUUUCCUCUCUAAUCUCAACCAAACUCAAAGAAUAGGUGUAAGGUAUAGGGAAAUCAUUGAGGCAGCAAUGUUCUGAUGGUCUCUCCAAAUUGAUUAUGAAAAACACUAGCCUUCGAGUCUCUACAUGAUAUGAUCUACCUUCUUUUCACCUUUGAUCUGUGAGGUGUGGAGUCUUGAUGUACUUAUUGUUCAACAUUCAUUUUGUAGCUUGUUUGCUGUACUUAAUAAGGAAUAAAAAAAAAUAUUAUUGCAUUGUGAUUUGAAAAAUAUGUUACAGGAUCAAUUCAUUUUAUUACUAUGAGGGUGCUUAAUCAUUGUUUUAAUUAUUUUCUUGCAGAAAUUUUUUCUUCAGGGAAGGUUCAUAUUUGGACCAGAUGUGAGAUCACUGGCGCUGACAAUUUUUCUUAUUGUUGCUCCUGUCGCAGUUUUCUGUGUCUUUGUUGCCAGAAAACUGAUGGAUGCUUUUUCUGACCACUGGGGGAUAUCCAUAAUGGCUGUCGCCGUUGUAUUCACAAUUUAUGUGAGUCUUUUUCUCUCAUGUACGAUAUUUUCUUUCUCUGUAUGUCUUUCUACUGUGUUGGUAAUCUUCUAUGAUUAGAAUCAUAAGAAGCAUUCCUCUAUAUUCAACCUCUCACACUUGAUUGAAGUGAACUGAUUUGGUUGAUUUGUCAAUGAAAUACUGCAUGUUUUUAACAUCGUUAAUUUUUCAUAUCUUCAUUUGUCAAUGAAAUACUGCAUCCUAAUUGUAAUGAUGAAGUUGGGUCCAUGUUAAAGCCAAACAUCAUGGAUUGUUGUCCUCCUUUUAGACCAAAGACAAUACUUUAUUAAGGGAGGGAAGGACAUCCUUCCUAAUGUUGCAAAUAGUAAUCUUUUAGAAGACUUUUGCAAACGCUUGUUUCAUAGCUAUUGUGAGUGCAACUCUUUCGAGAUAUUGACAAUCAGCACCAGUUGAUAAACACUCAAACACUUUGGAAAUUCACUCUCAAAUCAAAGGCUAGCUAUUAAAGGGAGAAAGCCAAGCACUAAAUGCUCUACCAAGCUUCCUAUACUAGUCAAUGUGGGACUUAGGCACCCCAUAAUACUCUAUUGGAUUUAGACUUCCCCUUGGAUGUGUGUAUUUUGCUUUAAUUCGAGGCACCAAAUGAAAGCAUAUGUAGUGUGUUGUCAUAAAACUUUGCGCCCCUUGCUUCUGCAAUAAACUUAUCAAAACAAGUUCUCCUAGCUAUAGGCACAAACAUCAAAGAUUGAUGGCACACACACACAUAGAAGCCUACUCCAUAUGUAAUCUGGCCAUGACCAUGACCUGUGUGAAAUGAAAUUUAAAAGAAAGAUUUUUAGAGGCAGUUUUGGGAUUCUGAGGGAGCUUCCAUGUGUUUCAAAGUUUCUUCAAAUCUCCAUUUUCUUUGGUCUGUUCAUUGAAAAGAAAAUUUUAUGCUUGUACACCUUUUCCUUUUGUGUGAUUCUUUUCAUUUGUCUUCUAGCUUAGAUAAUGGAUUCACUUGGUAUUAAAAAAUAGCGACAUUCUAUCAAGAAAAUUGUGUAAUAUGUCAUUUAGUCUAGUCUUAUGGUGGUGGACUGUAGAUGCAUCAAUGACUUGAUUAUAGUUUAGACUGUGGUUUGCAAUGGUAAUACCAUAAUACAUCUACAACUUUGCGAUAGGGCAUUAAAGGUUUAUGAAAGGAGAAAGAGAAAAUAGAAGUGGGUUGCCUUUAUAAGAAGGCAAGGGGGGUCUGGUAGAGGGGAGUUUUUGAUAUUAGUUGUAUUGACAGGAGCUUGUUCCUGAGGAGGGAGAGUGCUCCCUUGAGAGUUGGGUGCUGUACAUUUGUAUUCUUGUUCAUCAGAAUAAUAUUCAGUACUGUUGUUGUCCAGUAUUCUGUGUGGGUGUGUGCUGUUUUGAGAGAAAGAUAGACUUCUUGACCAAAGAAGUCUAUCAGAUGGUGCUUUUUGUUAGGUGAAAAUAUUAUUUCUGACAUGCGAAGAAUUUAUUUUGAAAGGAGUUACAAACCAAAAAAUAUAGUGAUAAAAGUGAACAGAGAAAAUGAAGGUGCUGUAAAUUGGAUGUUAUUUGCAAUUAAAAGGAAACUACAAAAGGAGGAAACCUCCAAUUGUCCAGAGGAUAGCUCCUAUAACAGAAAAUCACAUGAUCACCCUCUCCCCUUUUGCCUCAUCAGACUAAAUAACAAAAAAUACUCUACAACGUCUAACAACCUCUCUUCUAUACUAGCUCUCUUAUGUAACAACCUCUCCACUUACUCUUGCCACCUCAGCUUCAGGAUUUCUCUUCUUUUGCGCUCAUAAACCAUCCAUACCUUAGGUGUAACAUGAGAUGCCCUUCAUGGACCAAUGGCUCUUUCAGCCCAUAAACUUGUUAGGCUCCAACAAACGGUGAAUUUGAUAUGCUACAGACCUACACCUAGAUUCUAGUUCUUUAUGUUCAUGUCUGGCUUACUAGUUACCAAAGUGAUAUGCUUUGUUUCCAGCAAUCAACUUUUUUAUUACUUAUUUGAUGUUUGGUACUUAUGUCAUGUGAUAGAGGCAUAUCACUAAUUUAUCAUAGUUUGCACCUAAAAUAUGUUCUGUCCAACCUAUGCUGAUGCUACAAUCUUUUCAGGUCUUAGUUCUUCUUUUGUUAACGUCUGGCCGAGAUCCAGGCAUAAUUCCACGCAAUGCACAUCCUCCGGAGCCAGAAGGUUUGGACAGUAAUCUAGAUGUUGGUGCUGGUCAGACUCCUCAACUGCGGUUGCCUCGGUUUAAGGAGGUUGAGGUCAAUGGCAUCCCUAUUAAGAUCAAAUAUUGUGAUACUUGCAUGCUCUACAGACCUCCUCGUUGCUCACACUGCUCGAUCUGUAAUAAUUGUGUGGAAAGGUUUGAUCAUCACUGUCCUUGGGUUGGACAGUGUAUUGGACUGGUAAGUUGGAUCUGUUGUCUCCGAACCUAAGUGUUUUCUUUUUCUUUUUAUUCCCAGAAUGUUUUGGGGGAACAGUGACUUGAUCUCGUUAUUAAUUGUGACAGACUUUUCUUAGUCAGCUUUGAACUUAUUGAAUUGUUCAUAAUAAUUGCAUUUUAUACAUGGUUUCUUCUGAGAAAACUCAUUUUAUAAAUUUAUUAAAUUCAAUCUAACUUCAGUUUAAUUUUACUUUCAAGUUUAUUAUAGUUGUUAAUUCAUGAUAUAAUCUAGCUAUAAAUAAAGUGUUAGCUUGGUGGGUGAUCUUUAAACAGUGUUAGGUAUUUAAGAGACCAGAUUCUCUUUAACAGGAACUCUCUUAACUAGUGAACCUAUCAAAUUUCUGUCCUGUCAUGGAAAUUCUCUCUUCAAAUUGUAUCCUCUAUAGUUUCGUGCCUCAUAAACUGAUCAGACAAAUCUAUUACAGGGAAUAUAGGCUAAUUUUCCUAUUCUUUGGUUCAGACCAUGUUGCAAAUGGUGACAAGCGAUGUGUGAUUUAUUGCUAUUAGAGAGGAGUGCUACCCUUGCCUCCAAUAAACUAAAAACAAUAGCCCCUCUUUAACUGAAUUAAGACUCCAUAUCCCCUCUGCCAUUUUUCUUCUUCAUUGGUGCUUCAGCCGUAUUUUUUCUUAAGUUUGCAGCUUGAAUUUGUGUUCAUUUUUUAUGAGUUCCUCCACGGGAUUACUUUUCAGUUAUCAUUUGUUUUGUGUCAUUCUUGAAUAUAAUUGUUUGCACAUUCUUAUGCAGCGUAAUUAUCGGUUCUUCUUCAUGUUUGUCUUCUCAACUACGCUACUCUGUAUAUAUGUUUUUGCAUUUUGCUGGGUCUAUAUUGUAAGAAUUAUGGCGGCAGAAGAGAAAACAAUUUGGAAGGCAAUGAUAAAAACUCCAGCCUCCAUAGUGUUAAUAAUUUACACCUUCAUAUCAAUGUGGUUUGUAGGAGGCCUCACUGCCUUCCAUUUAUAUUUGAUUAGUACCAAUCAGGUAAGCACUGCUCUUUUUAAUCCACAUGCUUUAGAUGUAAGCUAGUUUUCAGAUUUGUACAGCAUGAUGUUGGCUCCUUUACUUUUGCAGACUACUUAUGAAAACUUCAGAUACCGAUAUGAUCGGCGAGCCAAUCCAUAUAACAAAGGAGUAUUGAAUAAUUUCAAAGAGAUAUUCUGCAUCAGCAUUCCCCCGUCAAAGAACAAUUUCAGGGCAACAGUGCCAAAAGAACCAGCAUUACCCACUCGAUCAGUGGGUGGAGGCUAUAUGAACCAAAACAUGGGGAAAGUUGGGGAGGACAUAGAAAUGGGAAGAAAAACAGUAUGGGACAUGGGUGCUGGAAUUGAGGACUCUGAAGCUCAAUUGAGCAAUGACCGUGUGGCUGUAAAGGAUGGUGAAUUGUCUCCUGAAAUCAGGACGACGGUUGAUGACACAGACCGUGCUGGAAUGCAUCCUCGGCGAUCUAGCUGGGGAAGAAAAAGUGGAAGCUGGGAAAUGUCCCCUGAAGUUUUGGCUUUGGCAACCAGGGUUGGGGAGCCAAACCGUGUCGGCGGAGACAGCAGUAGUAGUUUGACACUUGACAAUCGUCGUGUGUAGCCAAAUAGCAUGGCCAAGGGACCUGGAAGAUUUGAUUUUACAGUCAUGAUAAAAGAAAAUAUUACAUUGUUCAUGUGGUAAGUCUACGCCAAAAUCAUGUGCAAUAUGGGGAUGUAGGCAUUUGCAAGGUGUUUGUUAGUGUUUUUUUAGGCAUUCUGCUUCUAAGAAGAAAUUGUUUGGUGUUGCUUGAAGUUGUAUUAUGCAAUUAAUUAGCCUUUGCACCUGUGGAAGUUGCUGCAGCUCUCUAUCUCUCGGUGGCUGAAGGCUAGUGACAUGAAAUAUCCUGGAGGAAAUCAAUGAUGGACCAAGGGGAAUUGUUCUAACUUAUCUUGAUGCUUGAGUUAAAUGUAGUUGGUGUGUUAGGAUGAGAAGCUUAAUGAGACAGAUUUGUCAUGACAUAAAUCUUUACUCUUUGUUACCACUUUAGUGCUCUUGCCAUUCUACUUAUAAGUAGGAACAUUGCAUACCAUGUAUAAUUCCAUAAUGCCUGUGUUACAAAUACAAUCCAUGGCUUGAAAAACAAAGAGUUUUUAUUAUUCUUUUCAAUCAGUUAUCUGUCAGGAUUAAUUGUUGAAAAGGGAUUGUUUAAAUAAUAAAACUUAGAUCAAUUCCUGCUUGUACUGUUAUGAAACGUUGAUUAUUUUCCAAACAUUUAAACCAAUGGUUGAGUUACAACUUAAUUCCAAUGUUAAACAUGUUCAAUUUGAUUGAGGUGGAGAAUGUAGACCCUUUAGUGAUAAAAGAGUUAAGAUGAAAAAAGGAGAAAGGUAUAGCAAAUAAUUAAACUUCAAAAACUAUAACUCUCACAUAUAUUUGUAUAGAGAUAACUGAGAUCAACAACUUAUGUAUCUUUACAAUUUUAGACAAAUAAAUAUUCAUUUUGGUCCUAAUUAAGUCACAUAUUUUUGUUGAAAUAUCAUAACAAACAUCCUCGUUUCCCUCCCCUUUUAUUUUAUCUUUAAGGAUUGAACAUGACAUAUUUCUUCUUCUAAGUCAUUCUGGUAGUCCCAUGUAACAUCCUUUGAAAUGCUUCCGUUUAACUAAAACUUUAGUUAGUGUUACUCAUUUUCCUUUGACAGAAAAUCUCUUAUGAUUCUUUAUCUAUGAAGGUAUUUAGUUUGAUACAAGUUAAUGUGCCUCCAACAUGUUGAGUUGUGAAAUUUGGAAGACAUUUUGAACUUUGAUCAUUUAAUCAUAGACAAUCAUUUGGACUAGUAAAAUGGAGAUACAUUUGAAAUAUGUAUCUAGAAACCUAUUCACUUCCUACUAUUCAUCCAUUGAGAAAAUAUAUAUAUAUAGGUGCUUAUAAGUUUCUGGAAUUAAUUAAACAUGUCUUCCGCUGUACCCUUGUCAUAAUCUGGAGAUGAAGAAUGCGUUUGUGUUAAGGAUUGAGGUAUUGAAGGUAGCAUGAAGAGUUUAAAACUGCUCUACUGCUGGCUGUAGGUUAUGUUCCUUAGGAGAAUUCGUUAGUUCUGAAUAUGUUCUGCCACAAACAUCAUAAAGCAAGAACUUGGUAUGUGGCAGGGAAUAAAAAAAGAUUUGAAAGGGAGUCUGUCAGACAACCCUGCGACCAUCCCCAGCUUGUAAAGUCAGGGAACGAUCCUCUACAGCUGGUGAUGGGUCUCGUCCAGAAACAAAGCCCACACUACCGUUAAUCACGCUCUGAUCACAGGGUCAUAGUUCAUCCACCAGACUUCAGUUCCUGUCUCCUUAGAACUUAAGGAUACAGAGGUACGAACCUAUAGAACAGAUCCUGUUCAAGUAAGGUCGUGGCCAUGAAUGUCAGCUGGUCCUUUAUAAACGUACUUUCUUUUCAUAGCUCUUUCAAUGUGGGACUAUAUCAGUUGUUUGCAUGGUGAAUAGUUCCUGUCCAACUAGUUUCUUUUUGC